CUUUGAGGGCUUCAUUAUCAAAUUCUGAUCCGUCUUCUUGUUGACCAGGAUAGCCCUUUGCGAUAUGCCGGAUCAAGAUCAGCAAUCCAAGCUUUCGCCCGAGUCAGUUCUGUUAAAGCACCAGCUCUUGCAGCAGAUCGCUUUAUCUCUUCCAUCUGGGCUGGGGUCAUAGAUGAUUUCGCCAAUGUAUCCUUGAUCAGGGUUGGUGCCGAUUUAUUGAAAGAGGACGCACAGAUGACUCGUUGAGCACCAGUGUACAAUUGUUCUAUCAAUGUGUAGGCUGCUUUCAACUUCAUCCGCAUAUCGGAGCCCAGAUGACCAAUACGACUACCUGCAACGGUUUAAGAAUUUGAUGUUAAACCGGCAUUUCAAAGAUGUUUAAGAAAGGUUCUUGCAAAGAGUACUUACCAAAUAUUGCUGAAGUCAUAGCAUUGACUUGAUGCUUUAGCCCAGUUAGCUCAUCUACCACCGGUUUAAGAGAUGCUUUGGCAUCUUUAGCCCGCUUUAACAGAGCAGCUUUCUCAGUUUCCCAAUCCGCCUGCUCACUUUUAAAACCAUCCUUUAACUGCUCCAUGGCAGUUAAAGCGCCCUUCAGUUCAUCCUUGGCCUUGGAGGUUUCUGCUUGCUGGGGCUUAAUGUUUUCUUGAAGAUCGGCAAUCUGGGAGUCUUUGUUGCUCAAGUCAGCCUGCAAAAGACAGAUGAUGAAGAGGUUAAGAUUGUUUCUCAAAGUCCCAAGCACAUAACAAGUUAUACACUUGGCACUUGGGGGCUAAUGCGGAUUGCUUCUUUUUGACUAUUAUUCAAAGUCCCAAGGCUCAAUACAAGUAUUAAUCUUCGCACUUGGGGGCUAAUGUGUAAUUGAUCAGACAAAUCAAAGGUGAAGGAAUUCAACAAGGAUAGGUUUUGAACAGAAAGUCCCGGUUCAUCUUGAAAAGGUAAACCGGCCCUUGGGGGUUACACAGUUGAAGUCUUUUUUAUCUAAAGUCUCGGUUCAUCUUGAAGAGAUAAACUGGCCCUUGGGGGAUACACUGGAGUUGAUAUAUAGUACAAAGAGAAAUUAUGAAGUGUUUGGAAGUUACCUCAUAGCGCUCCUUGAUCAUAUUGACUAAACCGGCCUCAUAGUCACGGCUUGUAUAUAGGUGGUUUAGGUAUCCAGAGUGAAGUUCUUGAGUGGGGAGAUGAGCAUAGCUGGAAAGAUCAGUCUUCCAUUUGCCAUUCCCUUCAGGAGCAGAUUCCACUUUAGCACUGUGCUUUGACAAAGCGACAUGAUUACUAGGAGAAGUAUGGCCAAACCCAGUAAUCACAACAUCAUCAGUUGCUUUUGGGCUAGCCGGUUUAUCUGAGGCCUUGGCCGGGCUAGGCGGAUCAGCAGUUGGACUUGGAGGAUUGGCAUGCGAGCUUGGUGGAUCAACAUGAGGACUCGCCGGGUUAACCUCUGGCGGAGCAACAUAAGUGUCCUGACCUUGUGGCACAGGAUCAUCCAUAGCAAUAUCGGCAUCUCCACCAGCACCUUCUGAGUUCCUCCCCGGUUCAACCUCAUCAAUGGGGGCAUUGGUCUUUGUUUUCUUGCUCAGUCGAGCUUUGGCACUACUAACUGGCAAACAGAGGUUAAUAUGGUAAACUGGCACAAGAAGGCAAACUUAAAAUUAUUAUACGUACCCAGAGACGGUCUUGAGGGGAGGCAUUUGCGUGGUUGAUGAAUCGCUAGAGGAUGAAUAGGAAGUUACCUGAUAAUUUGAGUCAGACGGAUUAAGAGGGUAUCAGAAGUAACCCGCCAAGGGAUAAGAAUUGAUAGAAUUACAAGAGACCUCGGCACGGCGCUUCCGGAUUGGGGUGUCUAUCGGUGUUCUGGGAACGGGGCCCCCCAGACUUGCCUGCCUGCGGCCUGCGGCGUGGCUCAAGCGAAGGCUCAGUGCAGCCCAGCUUCAUCAGCUCAAGCUCAAGACCCUCGCGAGGGGCCAAGCCUCGUGGGGUGGACGACAGGAACCUUCCUCAGGAGCAGCCUCAUCAGGCAGGCUCGCGAGGAGGCGGAGAGAUCAAGGCAGGGUACCUCACGAGGUGCCCGUGACACAAGCCAUGACGAUUGAGCCCAGGCGGGCGCCAGGCGGGCGUCGGCCUGCGCAGUGUCCUUGUUUCCCCUUUGAUGCAAAGGGAGCAAGCACAAGCCAAGGCAUCAGGCAAAGGUUACCGCUUCGGUGCAACAAGACCAACACCAGCAGAGUGGCAUGAUGGAAGUCAUCGUGGAGCCCAGGAUGGCAUCACCGCCAGAGUCUUUGGCAGUCGAAGACUAACUUUAGUCAGGAUAAGUGUACUAGAUGUUCCCCUUCAAAAUGGCCAAUUGUUGGCGCCCUUCCUGCUCAUUAUUUGGGAAGAGGCCCAGGGCUUCCCUCUAUAAAUAGGACUAGCCACCACAGUAGAAAGGAGAACGGAUCCAGAUUGCGCAUAGACUAGAGAGAGGCGACUAAACUCAACCAAGCAGUUCAUCGCACCAGCUCAAGAACAGCCCCUCGCGAGGUUGUUCUCCCUUUGUAUUGUCCAUGAUCAGCCCCUGAGGCAAUCCACCACACGACACACUGGAGUAGGGUAUUACACCACAAUGGUGGCCUGAACCAGUAUAAAUCUCAUGUCCCUUGUGUGCUCUUCUUGCUAGCCUAGAUUCCUUGCGAGCCAUCGAGACGCGAGUUGGUAGGGGAAAGAUAUUUGUGCGCACCCCAGAGUUCGAACCUCAAGGGUCUGCCAGAACCCGAAAUCCGACAUUUGGUACGCCAGGGGGUGCGCUGGAAUCUUUCUUCCGCUGUUCGCGUGUGAUCUUCCGUCGUAUCCAUGGCUGACGCUCGUCGGGCUCGCGCUGAGCGUCGGCCUGCUCUCGCCACCCGCGUCGCCCAGACGGCGCCCAUUGGUGGACGCCCCCGUCGUUACCCGUCGCCUGCCGCCAACGCCUCCACCGGCCCAGCGGGGAACAAGCAGCAUGCCUCGUCCCUACAUCCUUCGGUGCAGCGGGAAGGCUGCACCGCCACCCCGUCGCUGACUCCAGCCGGUUUGUUGUCCCACACCUGUCGCGCCCCCACGGACGCGCACGCUGUGCUGCUCCUGGCGCGUGAGCUCCUGCACUACCAUCCCAUCGACGACCUCUACGAGGACUGGCUCGCCCACAUCACCGAGCUCGUCAGCGCUGUGGGGGACUCCGCUGCGCCAUCCCUCUCACUGCCUCGCCCUCCGUCCUGCGCAGGAGGCGCAGAACAGGAGGUGCCUCCGCCACCUCCUCCCCAAGAAGGCGCCCUGGCUCCAAGGCGCGCGGCCCCAGGACAAGACCCUCCACGUCCGGCGCCCGUGCGACAAGAAAGGAUUUGCCAAGAAAUCCCUCGCCCCCAAGAAGGUGCCCGCGUGCUCCCAGCACCGGUGCGCCAUGACCGCAUCCCUGCGUUACCACGUCAAGACCCCACGCUGCUCCAAGCGGCGGCGUGUGGGAAUUUCCAGGAGCAAGCCUAGCACCAGCAAAGGGCUCCGGUGGCCACCGCAUGCUGCCGCGCCUUCACCCCCGAGCUACACAGUGUUGCAUGGCCAGGCAAGUUCAAGCCUGACCUGCCCCCUCACUACGAUGGCACUGCAGACCCUGCAGAGUUCCUACAGCUCUAUGAGCUGGGCAUCGAAGCCGCCAACAGGGACGAAAAGGUCAUGGCGAACUGGUUUCCCAUGGUGCUCAAGGACGAUGCCCGCACCUGACUUCUGAACCUAGCUCCUGGCAUGAUCUCCUCCUGGGACGAGAUGCGCACUCGCUUCAUCGCCAACUUCCAAGGCACUCGCGACCGGCCCCCAGCCAUGAGUGACCUGCGCCGCAUCAAGUAACAGCCAGGAGAGACCCUACAGAAGUACAUCCAGCGCUUCAACAAUGCUCGCCUCAAGAUCCCCAGGGUGACUGAGGAAGCCAUCAUCUGAGCCUUCUCCGAUGGCGUGCGUGACAUCAAGAUGAAAGAGGAGCUAGCAAUCCAUGAAGACAUGUGCACAUCCCUGGAGCUGUUCAACUUGGCGACCAAGUGCGCCAGGGCUGAGGAAGGGUGCCUCUCCCUCCUCGAGCUUCCGGCUGCCGAUCUAGAAGAGAAGAAGCCCAAGGUCAAGGACGUGAAGCGUAAGGGAGCUGCCGUGCUUGAAGCGGAGCCAGACACCAAGCGAGGCAGGGGUCAGCCUGGGUCAUCCAAGGGUAGCUGGUACUGCGUGAACCACGACCUCCACACCCACAACACCAACGAAUGCCAAGAGCUCAGGGCCGUACGAGAUGCGCGUAUCAGCCGACGUCUCGAGCGCAACGAUCGGGGCUAUGGCCGAGGAGGCGGAAGAGGUGGAGGACGAUGGGAAGACCGUGGCCCUCGCCAAGGGUGGCGUGACCGACCUCGCGAGGACCGUUGGCAGGACCAGCAUCACGAGAGAGGUUGGAGGGAUCAGCCUCGUGAGGAUCGCCCGCACGGCAACGCAGGCCUCCCUCCUCUGCCACCACCGCCAAGGAGGAAUGAAGACCCGCAUCAGGACAAGGGGGCUGGGGGCUUCCAGGAGCCGCGCGCAAUCGCUUGCAUCCUGGGCGGCGCCCAGGCCCGAGCCUCACAGCGCAUCUUCAAGCAGUUUGCUCGUGAGGUGAAUGUAGUCCUCUCCAAGCUUGAGGCCAUGCACCCUCUCAGGUGGUCUGCGUGCGCUAUCACAUUCAGCUCAGCGGAUUAGCUCAAGUGUGCAGCAACGGCCGGAGUCCUCCCAAUGCUUUGUUCCCCAGUCAUCAGCAAUGUGCAACUCACAAGGACCCUCAUCGAUGGCGGAGCAGGACUCAACGUCCUAUCCGUCGAGACAUUCAACAAUCUCCAAGUGCCAUAUGAUCAGCUUCAGCCGACCAAGCCUUUCUCAGGAGUCACUAAUGGUUCCACUAUUCCGAUAGGGCAGGUUCGCCUUCCAGUCACCUUUGGGCAGCACAACAACGACCGCACCGAGCUCAUUGACUUAGACGUCGCCCACAUUCGCCUGCCGUACAAUGCCAUCCUCGGGUACCCAGCCCUGGCCAAGUUCACGGCAGUGACUCACCAUGGCUACAAUGUCCUCAAGAUGCCAGGAAGCGGUGGAGUUAUCACAGUACCCUGUGAGGAAAGGGAUGCAGUGUGUUCUCUUGAGCGUGCCUUCCAAGCCGUGGCAAUCGAAGACCCAGAUCACAGUAGCGGAAGGCUUCCCGAGGCGGUCCCGAAGAAGAAGAAGGCUUCGCCUGGCCCAAGACAUUAGGAGGCGGGUACUUCUGGAGGCGUAGCGUCAGGAUUCGCACCCGUUCAGGGGGCGCCACCCUUUGUAGCAUAGGAAGGCGCGCCCGACACCCUCCUCGGGCAGGGCUUGGGGGCUCUUUCUUGGAGGGACACUGACUUUGCCAAGGUCACGAGGGAGGCGCUCGGGCACCACUUGGAGGCAUGCUUCAAAGCACGUUUCCCUCAGGAAGGUAUGAGGCAAGGAGGGCCAAACCCUUAGGAGUUUAUUGCGAGAAACACUCAGGAGUCAAGAGUCAUGCGCGGCAGCCGCCGCCUACCCGCCGCAGCCCCCCAUCCAGGCAAGGAUGGCGUGCUGCGCGUCUGCAUCAACGUGCCAGGGCUCAACCGAGCCGCGUCUCAGGAGCGCCUCUGACCUUCGCGCAUGGGGCGUUGCGAGGGGCCACCUCACAGCUACGUUCGCAUGCCUUUCGGCCUGCCGAACGCGGUCGCCGCUCAUUAGCGCCUACCGAGGAGCAUUUUGGAGGCUCAGGAGGUCAGGCAUCGCACGGUCCUGGCGGAGAUGGAGACGGCCCUCGAAGAUCCACCUGUGCCCCCGGAGCCUCCCGAGGCUCCUGGUCCCAGGAGCUCGUGAGGGUCGGCUUCCUCACCGCGCAUCGUCCGCUGCUUCAGCAUCCCUGCAUCUUUAACGGUAUCAGGUGACAUCUUUCAAAGUUCCAUUUUCAGCUGGGAGCGCCCACAGGGCUGCAUCAUUCCCAGGUCACGUGGGUCCGUCCCUGCAGCAUGUAUCCAUUUUGCUCAUGUUCUCUGCUUACCUUGUUGGGGGCGCCCUUCGGGCUGCAUUAUCCCCAAGUUGCUCGGGCCUGACCCAGUGGCCUUUGCUUCUCCGCAUUUAUCUAAAUAGAUUUGCUCCUCCAUGCUUAACCUGAUUCCCGUGAUCAUCGCGGACCUCUCCACUCUCAUGCAAAGCGCUUGCACGUUAAAAGGGGGUGCCUGAGCAUCGCGACUCAUGGACUCUUACUGGCUCUCCAGCCCUCACCCCCUGGCCUUGACCCACGGCAUCGCGACCUGUGAUACCAGCGGUGGCUGAGCUUGCUCGAGGGCUGGGACCAGAGGACGUAGAGCAUUUGCAAUCUAACCACCUUGCAGGAACAUACCAUUGAUAAAGGCCCAGAGCCAGGCGCAACCCGCCUCGAGGUAGGGCCUCGUGAGUCCCGCGCUGGCUCACGGGUGCCCAGAUACACCUCUCCUAGCCCUACCGUGUCGGCCACAUGUCAGGGCGGGGCUGUACAUGCCCCGGGGGCUCCUCCCGGAGGGGAGCCCCCUCCCACGCACCAGUGGAAGCACCAUGCUCCGCGUUGGCUGACGACACUGCCGAGGAGCGGCUAUGCCCGUACACAUACAAAAGCACUAUGCUCCGCGCUGGUGAUAAACAACUAAGGGCGGCCCACGGCCGUAUCAACCACAGGGAGCCCGGAGCUUAGUGUCCGGCACCGUCACAACGCCUCCCCUCGGGAGUGCCGCGCGAGGGGGCUGGACACGGGGGCUACGCCCGGGCCACGCCCGAGCGCACGCCACCUAGCCAGGUCCCUCAGACCUGGUCGUCGCGCGCCCCUCCCCGAGCGGAGCCAAGGUACGAAAGCUCGUUUGCACGUCAAGGGGGACUCCUGAGCAUCGCAACUCAGGAGCCUAACUGGUCACGUAGCCCCUCACUCCUUAGUCCCGUCUUGGUUUCCGCUCGGGGCUAACGGCGGAUGAGGUAUGCGCGGGGCCGGGCCCUGUCGACGUAGAAUGACAAAUCCACUCCUAUGCCUCCCUUCCCUACUUGCUGUUUGCGCGUCAAGGGGGACUCGUGAGCAUUGUGACUCAGGAGCCUAACUGGUCACGUAGCCCCUCACUCCUUAGUCCCGUCCUGGUUUCCGGUCGGGGCUAACGGCGGCUGAGGUAUGCGUGGGGUCGGGCCCUGCCGAGUAGAACACAAGCAAAUAGGAGGGAAAAUGCAAAUUCUAGAGAAUUCAAAAGCAAAUAUUACAAUCCAUAGAUUGUUUCACAACGCCAAACACAAGUUUAAACGCCUCCACAAGGCAUGGUGCAUGUCGCAUGAAUUAAAAUAGGACAGAAGCUGCGAAGGGAUCACUUUCCAGUGGUGCCGCCGCCUGUGGUGGAGUCACGCUGGGCGACUCCACCUCCUGAGGCCGCGAAGCUGGCGGCAUCGCACCCGGGCAAGAUGCUGAAGGCACGGAACCUCCCCAGCAAAGCCUCGGCUCGGCCUUUCACAUCCUCAGCAGCAGCGGCGGCAAGGUCGCCACUCACAGGUUCCAGCAGGCUGUCAAGGUCGACGUUGGGGUCGCGAAGGUAGACGUGCCUGAGGACACGCGUCAGCGCUGUAGAAGACACGGCACGCACCUCGGCCUCGGCCGUAGGACCAAGGCCGUCUGCGACAUCUUCAAGCGCGCGGACCAGCAAGGGAAGCAGCUCGGUGGGGCCGUCCUCUGCACCAGCCAACGGUUUUUCUAAGCCGCCCUCAUAAAGCGUCUUCAGCGCGGCGCGAGCUUUCUCCUCCAGCUUCGCGAAGGCCACUCGAUCCUCCGCCAGGACCUUCGCCUUGCCAUCUAGCUUGGUCCUCUCCGCCUUCAGCACCUGCUCCAGGGUCUCCAACCGACCACGGUGGUCAUCAAGCUCGGCGUCCCGGUCCCUGACGGCGGCCUCCCGGGCCUUCAUCUCCUUCUCCUUCUCCUGGGGGCCGCAGACCUCCUUGGCGAGCUCGUCACGCAGGCCUUGCAGCUCGACCUCCAGCACCAUGCAGCAGCCCCGGGCAUCCGCAGCGUCGCCCAGGGCAGCAUCGCGAGUGGCCUUGGCCUAACAGGUGGCUUGCUUCUCCCCAUCGGAGGCCGACACGGCCUGGCUCAGCACCGCUCGGACGGAGGCGGCAGAGUGGGCCCAGCCAGAAGCUAGUUCCAGGCGCCCGACCACUAGGCAAGGGUCCGUGCUCCGAAGAUCCUCCCGCAACCGGCUCAGUUCAUUGGCAGCCCGGUCCAGGACGGCGGAAGAGUCAGAAGAUACGGGAGCCGGCGGAACAGGCGGAGAGGACGGCAGCGUGAUCACAGCUUGGGAGGAAGGAACCCCCUGGGCCUUGGCCACCCUGGCGACAGCAUCAAGCGCUGGCACCUCCAGAGUCAGCGGGGCCACGGGGGCUGACUCCUCCCCUGAGCGUCCUUGCUGGCCUCACGAAGGCGAUCGGGCAGGAGAGGCGCGAGCCUCGCUGCCUCCUUUCCCCGCAGAUGAAGGCGCUGCCCCGGCAGAUUAACUCCCCCCAAGCAGGGUCGCCGAGGACCCUUUCAACCUUUUUGUUGCAGGCGCCGGCCUGGCCAAAAGGAUGCAGAUGUCAAGCCUUGGUGACGGAAACAAAGCAAAACACGAAUCGAGCACUUACUGGUCAUCGAUCGAGGACUCAAGCAGCCUCCAGCCAAACUUGAAGCCCGAGAGCCUGCAGUUGGAGUCAGCCUUGUGAGGCACGGAAGCAGAAGGUGCGUCAGGAGGGCCUAAGCUGGCCUCAGACCGCCCCGGGACCAGAGCAGACCCUGGGAGAACCAGCCCCGUCCUGCCCUUCCUCAGGAUCAAGGGAGAGUUGCCGGCCUCGUCGUCGUCCGGCAUGGAGCGAAGCGCACGGGACCUGCGCCGAGGGAAGGACUCCCUCGACUCCUCGCCGGUCGCCUCAGAGUCGGGCUCUUCUUCCUCCUCACUCCCGCUGGAGUCGUCGGAGAACACGUUCACCGUUGCCAGCGCCGCUAGGUCCUCGGGAGCUUCUGCGGGCACCAGCCCCUCACUGUUGAAGGUGGGCAUGGCGUUCACCACCUGCUCCCAGCCGUUGCGAAGGAACAGGGGGACGGGAGCGCCCUCCGGGCUCGCCACAUCCCCCCAACCAAGGAGUGGAGAGCUGCGACCAGAUCUUCGUCGGUCAGGGCCUCAGAGCUUAGGUGAAGGGCGACAUCUGCUUCCCCAAGCCUCCACAAUGGGAGCGAGUGCUCCCGGAGUUGAGCCACCCGGUGCUCCAGGAACUCCCUCAGGAGCGUAGCCCCGGUCAGCUUCGCCGCCCCCAAGUUGCCUGGCCUCAGGUCCGCGUUGAUCCUCUUCGGCACCACCUUCACGCGGGGGUCGACAAGCUCCGCACGGGACCACGCGUCAACAGCCUUGGGCGGCCCCGUAGGCAGCACCAGUCGAGGGUGGAUGCGCCCAACAUCCACCAUGACCCACUUGAUCCGGUAGCCGUCGAUCCUCUUCCCGGGCUUCGAGAUAGCAUUGGAGUUGGAAUAUGCGAUAAAGCUCGCACACGCGGUGAUGUGGGCACCAGAAACUCAGAGGGAGAAGUAAUGACGCAGCAAGGCCACUGAGGGCCUUACCCCAACGUGAGCCUCACAAUAGUAGGCGAAAAUCGCCAGGAGAAGAACAGAGUUGGGGUGGAGGUGCAGAGCUUGAAAGUUGUACUGACGAAGAACAGUGAGGAAGAACUCGGAAAAGGGAGGCACCAAACCGGCGAUGAUGGCGCUCAUAAAGAGCGGGUAGAAGGUGCUCCCCUUGCCUUCAGGCUGGGCGGAGCCGGCCUUGAGCACAGUUGCCCCCAUGUUGCCCUGCACCACCUUCAUCAGGCGCGUGAGGGCGAGAUUCUUCUCCGACACGUUCGGGGGAUCCAGAGCCGACGAGUACCAGGCCUCGGCCGGGAUCUUGCGAGGCGCCAUGGCUUGCUGGAUGGAAGGGAUUGAGACAGAUCUGGAGGAUUUCGGGGGCAAGAAGGAGAAGGGCGAGAGAGGGGAUCUGGAGCAAGGCGAACGAGAAAGAAGAAAGUAAGUCUGGCCCGGGCACCUCUUUUUGUCAGAUGGACGGUUGCCGAGGCGUCGUGAGGAAGCAGAGACGCCCACGUCCAAUCAAUUGCCACGCGGUGCCCAAGGCCGCAGGCUAUUGGGGCCCGCGGCGCUUCACACUUUCCCUUCGCUUCUCUGCUAAGCCAAGUACGGGCGCGCCUUGGGCCCGGUGGCUACUGUUGGUGUUCUGGGAACGGGGGUCCCCAGACUUGCCUGCCUGCGACCUGUGGUGUGGCUCAAGCGAAGGCCCAGUGCAGCCCAGCUUCAUCAGCUCAAGCUGAAGACCCUCGCGAGGGGCCAAGCCUAGUGGGGUGGACGACAGGAAGCUUCCUCAGGAGCAGCCUCAUCAGACAGGCUCGCGAUGAGGUGGAGAGAUCAAGGCAGGGUACCUUGCGAGGUGACACAAGCCAUGACGAUCGAGCCCAGGCGGGCGCCACGCGGGCGCCGGCCUGUGCAGUGUCCUUGUUUUCCCUUUGGUGCAAAUGGAGCAAGCACAGGCCAAGGCAUCAGGCAAAGGUUACCGCUUCGGUGCAAAAAGACCAAGACCAGCAGAGCGGCAGGAUGGAAGUCAUCGUGGAGCCUAGGAUGGCGUCACCGCCAGAGUCUUUGGCUGUCGAGGACCAACUUUAGUCAGGAUAAGUGUACUAGAUGUUCCCCUUCAAAAUGGCCAAUUGUUGGCGCCCUUCCCGCUCAUUAUUUAGGACGAGGCCCAGGGCCUCCCUCUAUAAAUAGGACUAGCCACCACAGUAAAAAGGAGAUCGGAUCCAGAUUGCGCAUAGACUAGAGAGAGGCGACUGAACUCACCCAAGUAGUUCAUCGCACCAGCUCAAGAACAGCCCCUCGCGAGGCUGUUCUCCCUUUGUAUUGUUCAUCAUCAGCCCCUGAGGCAAUCCACCAAACCACACGCUGGAGUAGGGUAUUACACAACAAUGGUGGCCUGAACCAGUAUAAAUCUCGUGUCUCUUGUGUGUUCUUCUUGCUAGCCUAGAUUCCUUGCGAGCCAUCAAGACGCGAGUUGGUAAGGGAAAGAUCUUCGUGCGCACCCCAGAGUUCGAACCUCAAGGGUCUGCUAGAACUCGAACUCCGACAAUGUCUGGUAAACCGGAGGAAGUGACUUGCUGGCCACUAUGUCGGGUUGUGCGACGAGCUUCAGGAUGCUGUGGAUCCAAAUGAGUGAAAGGAUGUGAACAUUUCACUUUCGGACUGCGUGACGGAUUUUUCUUACUGGCACAAGAUCGGAAUUGGAGGAAAGGGAGAUUACCUCCACAUGGUCCGCAUGGCAAGCUUCUGCAUCAUCCUAGUAAUGGUCGUUGUCAAUAAGGUGAAUGAAAAAUGAACCAAGGGAGUCAAGUUCUACCUCUUGUUCCGAAUCAUCAACAUCUUCGGGUGGAUCAGAAGACUCAACAAUUUUCUUCUUGGAUGGCCUCUUUGUGGCCUUGCUCUUGCCACGAGGAGCCCUCGCCGGUUUGUCUUGAGCUUUGGCCAGUUUGUUUUGAGUUUUCCUCUUCCAGAAAGGAUCUUUUGCCUGUAAGAAUAAACAAAAGAUUGUCAGAAAAAUGUUAAAGCGAAGACGGAUUGAAAAGCAGAAGGGUAAAAUUUUACCGCUGGCGGUUUGUUGGAGGCAUAAAAAGGACGCAGCCUAGUCUUGCUGCACUCAGCAAUCGGUUCAUCCAGCAUCUUUUUAACAGAUUCAGUGACUUCAUCAUCGUUCAUCUGUAUUUUAGUGUGGCGUUGAGGAUCCUUGACAUCCUCGGUAUACUCAUGCAUCAACCUGGUGCGGCGGCUUAAGGGCAGGAUACCCCAUGAAACCCAGCAAUGGACGAGGUCAAUGCCGGUUAAGCCGUUUGCUAGAAGAGCCCGGAGCUUAGCAAGUUGAGGUGCAUAUGUUUGUCGUUCCUUGGCAGUGAGCCGCUGAGGCAGUGGAUGUCCAUUGCUAAGCCGGUAAGCACGGUAACUCGACAGAGGAUUUUCAUCAGCAGGAGUGGUAUUCUGACAAUAGAACCAUGCUUGGUUCCAAUCCUUGGGGUGGCUGUGAUGUUUGGCAUGACGAAAAUCGACUUCUUUCCUUUUCCGAAUCGACACUCCGCCAAGUUCAAUAUUGGGGCCGUCAGAAAAUUCAGUGCGGUGGUUCAAGUGGAAGAAGUCCCUGAAGAGUUCAACAGUCGGUUCUUCUUGAAGAUAAACUUCACAGAACACUUGGAAAUUGCAGAUGUUAGAAACAGAGUUCGGUCCAAUGUCUUGAGGAUGGAGUUGGAAGUUGGCAAGUACAUCCCGGAAUUUUUUUGAUCCGGGAGGGCUAAACCCUCGGUCCAAAUGCUGCAUAAAUACAACAACUUUUCCAUCUUGGGGUUCAGGAGGGUUUUCAGCACCAGGGACUCUCCAAUGAAUGAUUUCCUUCUUUGCCAAAGCGCCGGUUAGGACAUAACCAGUGAGUUGUUCUUCUAUGAUCCGGGAGGGAACCCAAUUGCAAGAAGUGAAUUGUUUGGCCAUUUUGAUGACAAACUGUAAAGGAAGUGCAAAUGUCGGUUCACGGUUCAAGAUUGAUAUGCAUAGACUGGUAUCAAACCAGAGAAUUUAAUCAAAAGCGUGUGUGUACAUUAAACCGGAGAUGGAUGUUCAGGGACAAAUGGCGGUUUACAAGAGGGCUAACGGUACCUACCGGAUUGUCGUUUUCUACAGGUUAAACCGCCUAUAGUGGCACGAAGGGCAAUAGAUCUGAAAAUUACUAAGUGCUACACAAAUAGGUUUCACAGACUAAGGAUUAUUACUUUGGAUAUAACAUAGUUCAGGAAAAAGAAAAAAUGUUAAGGCCCUAAAAUAGCAACAGCGGAACAGAAAGGAGCCAGAUGAGAUUUGUUCGUGGUCCUAAAGGUAUUAUGCGGAGGCAAAAUAAACUAAAAGCUUCGGCCGCAGAAGGAAAAGGUCAAGUUGAUCUUGAUUCAAUAAGAUAGUAAGGGCAGAAUAAUGAGCAUGGACGAACACUGAUGAACACAGACGAACACCAAAACCCUAAUGCAGAUCUAGGAUUGAGGGAAAGGGGUUUACCAGAUUCACAGGAGUAGCGGAAGAGAACCGCAGAUCUCUGGUGCGUUCAGGUUGAUGCAGCGGCCAGGGAUGAGGCAGAGCUUGAAGGUCGAUGGCGGCGGCGGAGCUGUCGAGCUUGAGCGUAGAGAGGAAGAAGAAGAAGUGCGGAAGGAGAAAAGGGAAGGACCCCUAGGCCUAUUUAUAAGGCAAAUGGAUGAAGGAGGCAAGCGCGAGAAUCGAGGAGCCCGAAAUGAUAAAAUGGGGCACAACUGUCGCCUCGAUCUUCGGAGUCAGUUAAUGAAAGGGAAUCUUUAUGAGUUUUUUAUGCAGAUGACGUGAUGGCAGUUUAUGGUGAUUUCCAAAGAUGAUGUCAUGUAGGUUUAAAGUUAAUAUGAAGAUGUUUCAGAUCAGAAUUUUUCUAAGUUGAAGAUUGACAUGAACAGGUUCAAAUCAAUCUAGGGCCUAAUGUUGAGGAUAUAACUACUGAGUGUAAACCGCCCAGGAGGAGCCGGUUCACGCUCAUCUAUAUUGAAGCUCAUGAAGACAAAGAAGAUGACGCUCUACUAUUAAAGCUUAGAGGCCCAGAGCCCAAAGGAGGAUUAGGGCCCAUAGUUGUAAACUGCCAUAAUCAUAUAACUUGUAUUGUAAGAUAGGGAGAGGAAGAGACCGAGCCGGACACUUGUAUGAGCCAGCCUCGGGACUCUGUAAACCGGCCGGGCGUCAAGCUGUGUAUAUAAAGGGAUGACCCGGCGGCAGUUCAGGAACAAAAAACAACAACUCGAGACUCAGGCAAAGCGUAUUCGCUCCCUGCUCAUCGAGAUCAAUCAAUCCCACAACAACUAGACAUAGGCUUUUACCUUCGUCGUAAGGGGUUGAACUAGUAUAAAACUCUCGUGUCCCUUGUCUGGUUUAACCCCUUUAAGCUAAUCUUGUUGCGAUGGCUCCACGACUAAGUCCUUCUGCUAGGACAUCUGAUGUGUUAAUUCCAUGACACUGGUAUUUCGGCUUCAUCCUCGCGAGGAGCCCUCGAUCAGGUCCACGGGCACCAGCACCCCUCAUGUCCGUGCCCCCUGGGCAGCGCGACACGGUGCAUCGGGUCCGAGCUAAUCUAUGGAAGGGGACUCACGUAAGGGGGAGUGAGCCGCUCGACAAGUUUUCUCUUCCUUCAAAGGACAGCUCUGUCACGGCUCCUAAGAGCACAAGGCGUAUCUUCCGGGGGCUGCAUCAAAGACUCCCCGGGGAAGGGGGCCCCGUCAAGUACCUGAGGUCAGGUCCUCGUGAGGCAAAAAACGACUACACAUACCAAGCUAAGCUCUCCUACCUUAACUCACUCAGAUCGCAAACAUUACAACGCAGUAUCAAGAUGGCAAUUAUAACAUAAAAGGUAUAACAGCAAUAGUUCAUUACACGCCCCCGCAGGGUACAUCUUUCUUUUUUCGGAUUGCAGGAGAAAGGAAAAGCUAAACAAAGAGGGCCUGAAGACGUAUGAGCUCGGCACCAGUGCCGCAUCCUCAAGCAGCGCCUCAAGGUGACCUGGCGUGCCACCAGUUCUCCCAUAGGUGACCCGGGGCCGCCGGCCUUGAGUCCAAGUUCGUCGGCCCCCAGCUUCACGCCGGGCUCCUCUCUAGCUUCACUAGAGCACCGCGGCAGGACGAACCCCCGACAUCCUCGACCCAAGCACGACGACGCAGGGGCUGGUCGUAUCCGCCACUGCUUGAGCUCUCAUCCGAGGAAGAGCUGCCGUCUCGGGAGGGGGAGCGCGCAUCGCCAAGAACAAGCUCAUCAUCGCCACCGUCGUUGUUGCUGCCAUCCUCCGGGCAGCACCCCACGCGGCGGGCGUCCUCCCUGAACAGCCUCACGUAGAGGGUCGCCAGGCCGUCGUACUUAAAGUGGAGGUUGCACCUUCCGCCCAGGCCACACGCGCGGGCAAAGGUCUGCCAGCCACGAGUCAGGACCACGCUACCGGAGGCGGUGACCUCGGUACCAACAGAUGAAGCCCUGCUGCAGCAGCCCUCAGCCUGCAGCCAGAGACCAUUGGGCCCUGAAGAAGGAAGCUCGCCAGAGAAGAAGGGUGGGAGGCAAAGCAAGGUGCCAGUCGGGCUCUCCGACCACACCACGAACUCAGGGAGCACGUCCAGCAAGGAGAAGCGCGGCCGAGGCGGGCGCACGAUCACGGCAUGCCUUCCUUCAUCAUGGGGGCUGCUCUGAAGCCGGUGGGCCCCGCCGUGGGAAGAGGUGCCAUUGUGGGCGCCUAGAGCAAUGCUUCCUAUGGGGGGCGCGCCCCCGCGCCCCCUAGAAGCUGCCGGAGGGACCGCGGAGUGCUUUCGGGGACAACCACGACCCCUCUUGAGAGGAGGAGAGGCUGGCCCCUCCUUGGAAGCUUUCCCCUUCUCGGCCGCUGAAAACCUCUUCGGGGAUGCCAUGGGAGCAAGACGGAGAGGAGAAAAGCAGGCGGGAGCAAGACCAACGAAAGAUGGGCGGGGGGCUCUGCCCCUCCCUCACAUUUAUAGCCAAGGGAGGCCAACCGCCGGCCUCCAUGACCUCAUGCCAUCAUGACCUUCUGCAUGUCGCAUCGACCAGUCAAGUUGAGCAGUUGUCGAGGCAGCAUGGGGAAGCAAAGUCGCCCACAUCCCAUCAAUCGCCAUGCAUCAUCAAGGCCGCAAGCGGUUAGGGCCCGCGGCGCUCCGCACUUGCCCUUUGGCUUCGCCUGGAAGCCAAGUCCGAGCGCGCCUUGGGCCUGGGGGCUAAUGUUGGCGUCCUGGAUUCGGGGGUAUCCAGCCCUGCCUGCCUGCGGCCCACCACGUGGCUCCAUCGACGGCCUGGUACGGCCCAGCUUCAACAUCAACAACGCAAGACCCUCCUGAGGAGACAAGCCUCGCAAGGUAGGCGACGCCAAGACCCCAGAAGGAACUGGCCUCCUUGGGCUGGCUCCUGAGGGGCGGAGAGUUCUAUGCAGGUUACCCCACGAGGCUCAGCUGACGUGAGCCAUGACGACCAAGGCCGAGCGGGCACCACGCGGGCGCAGGCGGGCGCAGAGUGCAGGUUUCCUCUUUCGUGCAAAGGAGGCAAGCCAUAGGCGCGGAGUCCCGAGGAACCAGCCAAAGGUUUCCAUUCUGCUGCAACAAGACCAAGACCACCAGGAUGGCAGGACGGAGGUCAUCAACGAGCCCACUACGGUGUCAUGACCAGAGGCUUUUCGCAGGUGAGGACUACUUUUGUCAGGAUAGACUGUACUACUUGUCCCCUUUCAAAUCCGGCCAUUGUAGGAUCCCUUCCCGCUCAUAUUUGGGAAGAGGGCCAAGGCCACUAUAAAGAGAACUAGCCACCACCAUAGAAAGGGGACGAAAUCAGAACAAGUAGAACUAGCAUACACCACACUAGCACAAGAACACCUCACCUCCUGAGGCUUGUUCAUCCUCUAUACUAGCUCAGCCUCAGCCCUUCGAGGCGAUCCACCAAAACGCUGGAGUAGGGUAUUACACCACAACGGUGGCCUGAACCAGGAUAAAACUGCCAUGUCUCUUUGUCCCUUUGAGCUUGACACGCUAGGCUUAGGAGGUUCGCGAGUAGGUAGGCUGGGUAGGUUGAGAUCGCCGCACUGACCCCAGAGUUUGACCUCACGGGUUUGCGGAUCCCACAAUCCGACAAGUGCGAUAAUGAUGUCUUUGUUGCUGAAUGUUCUACUGCUUUUGAUGUUGCAAUAUCUUCAACUGUUGAUGUGGUAACUAACCCCUCUACUGAGGAUGCCACUACUAUUGCUGAUGAGAAUGCUAGGUUGAAGACAUUGCUUGAGACUGGCAUGUACAAAAGCCUCAAACGGCAUCAAACCUUGUGUGAUGUCAUCAAGAAAUAGAUUCUGAACCGAAACCCUAGGAAAGAGGGUGUUGGUUUCGAGAGGAAAAUGAACGUUGAUGGCUCAUAUUGGACGCCUGAGCAGUACCCCAAAACCACCUGGGUUGCUGCUAAGGAUCCUUCAGUUGACCCAUCCAUGUUAUCUGGCUUCACUUGUGCUAACCCAAUUGUCAUUGAUGAAUCCUUUGAUGCAAACUAUAAACUAUUUAAGAAUCAGAAUGGUGAAGUGUUUGCCAGGUACAUUGGUACUAACUGUAGGAACGGUUCACCCCAGAAGAAGAUAUGGGUGCCCAAAAUUUGUCUUGAGAAGCUUCCCGUGAAUGUCAUCAGGAUACCACCGGGGAAGAAGACAAACCCCCUACCAAAGGCAUCAUAUGGUCCAAAGGCUUCAUUCAGACAGAGGACCACUCAUGGUCACCAUAACACCAAUGUUUUGCAGGAGAAUUGCUAUGAGACUCGUGAAUAUGAGCGUGUUUCCUCUAACCGCUAUGUUCACAAAACUAAGAACUUUUAUGCAUAUUCUUAUGAGUACUAUUCUCCUCCUGCGAAGCUAUUUGCUAGGGCUCCCAAGCCAAAGUUCUCAGAUGCUACACUUAGACUCAUUGCUUCUAAGCCACCCUGAAGAUGUGGGUUGUUAAGAAGAGUUAACUUUUCUUGCAGGGAAAGGUCUCCAGUCAGAAAGCAAAAUCUUCUGACGACAAUGUUGGAGACCUAAAACAUCUUGUGGGACGCAAGAUAAAAUGCUCCAAUGGUCUUAUCAUGUAUUUCGUCCUAGGGUUCCUUGACGUGCAUCCUAUCAUGCCUAACCAGAAUUUAAACUUUGAUAAUAUGCUUGUUCGCUACAUGUCUCUGCUUCACAAUACUCUUGGUGAAGCAUAUCCCGCUAACUGCACUGUAGGGUACAACUCCAAAAGCCACUGAAUGGAUCAUGGACAUCAGCUGCACCAACCACAUGACUGGUGAUUCAAGUCUUCUUAUGGAUUCAACCCUACGUCCAUCUACUAAGAGCCACAUCACAUUCAUUGACACUGGUAAAAGCAAGGUAUUAGGUCUUGGUAGAGUUGCUAUCUCAAAAGAUCAGCACAUGGAUAAAGUGAUGCUUGUUGAAUCCCUUGGUUACAACUUAAUGUCUGUGUCAAUGAUCUUUGAUCUCAACAUGAUUGUGAUAUUUGGAAAAUAUCAUUGUCUUGUGCUAAUGGAAUCUAACAAAUCUCUAGUCUUUGAAGGCUAUCGAAGAGGUGAUCUGUAUAUGGUAGAUUUCUCAGCAGGACCCCAGCUUGCCGUAUGUCUUCUAGCAAAGGCUUCAGAAUGCUCGCUAUGGCAUCUACGGCUAGGACAUGCGGGCAUGAGAAACCUGUACACUCUCGCAAAGAAGAAGCACAUAAUUGGCAUCAAGGGUGUCAAGUUCAAGAAGGAUCAUCUAUGUGGUGCCUGUGAAGCUAGAAAGAUGACAAGAGCCAAGCAUCCCUCAAAGACAAUCAUGACUACCUCACGCCCCUUCGAGCUGCUUCACAUGGAUCUAUUUGGCCCUACUCACUACUCUACUCUUACUACUACUGCACAUCUCCAUGGCUUCGUUGUUGUUGAUGAUUACUCUAGAUACACCUGGGUGCACAUAAUUCUCUAUAAGACUGAAGUGUAGGAUGUCUUCAGACGCUUCGCAAACCGGGCCAUGAUGAAAUAUGGCAUCAAGAUCAAGCACAUCCGGAGUGACAAUGGCACUGAGUUCAACAACGCCGGCCUCGACAUUUAUCUUGAUACCUUGGGCAUCACACAUGAGUUAUCUUCUCCUUACACACCUCAGUAGAAUGGCAUCGUAGAGCGCAAGAACAGAACACUCAUUGAGAUGGAACGAAUGAUGCUCGAUGAGUACAAGACUCCAAGAAAAUUCUGGCCUGAAGCUAGUGAUACUGCAUGCCACAUCAUCAACAGAGUAUAUCUUCACAAGUUCUUCUAGAAGACAUCUUAUGAACUUAUGACUGGUAAAAAGCCAAAUGUCAGUUACUUUAAAGUCUUUGGUGCUAGGUGCUGGAUCAAAGAUCCACAUCACACGUCUAAAUUCGCACCGAAAGCACAUGAAGGUUUUAUGCUUGGUUACGGAAAGGACUCGCACACCUACAGAGUCUUCAACCUCUUUAACUAUAAAGUGGUUGAAACUGUAGAUGUGCGGUUCGUUGAGACUAACAGCUCGCAAAGAGAGCACCUGCCAAAUGUGCUAGAUGAAGCUACACCGGGUGAAGCUGUCAAGUUGAUGGGUACUGGAGAAAUCAUACCCACAGAGGAACAAGCUGAGGAUGAGAUUAUCAUUUCUGCACCUAAUCAACCUGAAGACAAUGCUCAGUCCGAAGCCAAUGCUAAAGACGAAGACAACAAUUAGUCAGAUCAAAAUCUUCGUCCAGCUCAUCCUCGGGUUGCAAAUGAAGUCCAGGUUGAGGAGAUCAUUGAUAGCAUCAACUCUCCUGGCCCUCUCACUCAUCAAGAGCUACACAACUAGCAAACUUCUAUGGUCACUUUGCCUUUGUCUCUAUAUCUGAACCCAAGAAAGUCAAAGAAGCCUUCAUGGAACCUGAAUGGAUUCAAUCUAUGCAAGAAGAGCUUCAAUAGUUUGAACUGAAUAAUGUCUGGGAGCUUGUCAAACAUCCUGAUCCUCGCAAGCACAGUGUCAUUGGCACGAAAUGGAUCUAUCACAACAAGCUAGAUGAACUUGGACAACUUGUCAGAAACAAAGCUCGCCUUGUUUCUCAAGGUUACACUCAAGUGGAAGGUAUAGACUUCGAUGAAACCUUUGCUUCUAUGGCACGGCUUGAAGCCAUUCGCAUACUGCUGGCUUAUUCCAACCAUCACAACAUUCUUCUGUACCAAAUGGAUGUGAAGAGUGCCUUUCUCAAUGGCAAAAUCGAAGAAGAAGUGUAUGUCGCUCAACCACCUGGUUUUGAAGAUCCUAAGCAUCCCGAUAAGGUGUACAAACUCAAUAAGGCACUGUAAGGCCUCAAACAAGCACCUCACGCUUGGUAUGGCACACUCAAGGAAUUCCUGAAGAGCAAAGGCUUCAAACCUGGUUCACUAGAUCCCACUCUCUUCACGAAGACAUAUGAUGGUAAAUCAUUUGUGUGUUAAAUAUACGUGGAUGACAUUAUCUUCUGAUGCACUGAUAAGAGAUACAGUGACGUUCGGAUACAUAAUGCAAGAGCAAUAUCAGAUGUCCAUGAUGGGGGAGCUGAAAUUCUUCCUUGGUCUUCAAAUCCAUCAACAUUGCAAUGGCAUCUUCAUAUCGCAAGAAAAAAUACCUCAAAGAUUGCCUGAAAAAGUUUGGAAUGCAAGACUGCAAAGGGUACACGACGCCAAUGACAACCAAAAGUCAUCUCGGCCCUCACAACAAUGGUAAAGAGUUCGAUCAAAAGGUAUACCGCUCCAUGAUUGGUUCUUUGCUCUAUUUAUGUGCAUCUAGGUUUGAUAUUAUGCUUAGCGUUUGCAUGUGUGCCCGAUUCCAAGCGGCACCAAAGGAGUCGCAUCACCUUGCGGUGAAGCGAAUACUUAGAUAUUUGGCUCACACCCCAACACUAGGAUUAUGGUAUCCAAAGGGCUCAACAUUUGAUCUGGUUGGAUAUUCUGAUGUUGAUUAUGCUGGUGACAAGGUUGAUCACAAGUCCACUUCAGGAACAUGUCACUUUCUUGGAAGAUCUCUUGUCUAUUGGUCUUCAAAGAAGCAGAACUGUGUAUCACUCUCCACUGAUGAAUCUGAAUACAUUGUUGCUGGAUCGUGAUGUGCUCAGCUUCUCUGGAUGAAGCAAACUCUCAAGGACUCUGGCAUCAACACGAAGAAUGUGCCACUCUUCUGUGACAAUGAAAGCACCAUCAAGCUCUCCAAGAAUCUAGUCCAGCACUCGAAGACAAAGCACAUUGAGAUUCGUCAUCACUUUCUCAGAGAUCAUGUCAACAAGGAAGACAUUGAUAUCAUUCACGUCAACACUGAAGAGCAAUUGGCUGAUAUCUUCACUAAGCCCUUGGACGAGAAGAGGUUUUGCAAGCUGCGGUGUGAGCUAAAUAUCUUAGAAUCCUCAAAUGUCUAGUGAAUGGACACACAUCCUAAUGCUUAUGCGUGUUGAUGACUUAGAUGUGCAACACAUGAAGUAACGUAUUUCUUCAAUCAAUGAAGACUUACCCUCUAAGUGUGAAUACAUUAAUGUGGAAUUUGACUUCGGAGCGCCACGAUAAUUGUGCGUCGUGUCUAGGUCUAAUACUUCCUAUACGGUGGGUAAUGCCACAGCCACAACUUCUCGAAGAUUUUCAUUUGGCGUCAUGAGUGCAUUAUCUUCACUUUUGGAUUGUCUUCAAUAUUGGUUUAUCUUCAAAAUCUAUAUCUUAGCAAUGUUGAUUUGUCUUCAAUGAUAAUUAUAUAUAUCUUCAUACGUGUUCUGUCCUCUACAGCAUUCACUUAUAGCUAUGUCUUCAUGUUGCUUUUUUCUGACCAAAUGAAUGUGAUCGGACUCUAAUCCCUUCUGUGCUACUUCCUCAAAUUCUUUCUGUCUAAGUCAUGUGCAUUCUGUUGACACUUGUCAAAUAUCUUCUCGAUGUCCAUGUCAGCAGAAGAUACAGAGACACACUUUUAAAACUGCUUUUAGUGUCUUAUCCUUUGCCUGAAAAAUGGAGAAGCCGGAACGACCACCCAACAAUCCAGACGUGCGUGGGAACAUAGAUCAACUCCUGAUAAGUUGCAUGCACGCCAUGUGUCCUACAGAUGUGAACCUCCAGGGGCACCUGCGUAAUUGCACUACGCCGCCCUCCUCCUUCCUAUAAAUGCACACCCCUCGCGGUCAAUAUCUUUUCUUCCACCUCGACACCUCGCUCAAACCCUAGCGCCACCGCGAGCUCGCGUUGACGCCGGAGACGAAGCGCUUAGCUGCCGCGACUUCUUCGACGCCAUCCUCACGCCGGCCGCGGACCUCUUCUCUCUGCUGCUGCCGUAGGUGUCUUCCGCCGCCAAGUUAGGGCACGGGAGAUUGGACUGCUCGGACUCCCUUCUACAUCGUCUAGCAGUUCAUCUAUGGUAAUUAAAACUCACUUUUUAUAGUCUUUUCGAUCUGUCAAAUCCAUCCACUUCAACCAAAAGUGGUUUGUACACUUCCAAAUCUGGAUCUGUCUCUUUCUAAAUCUCAUAUAUUGCAAAGUAUAUUCACUUAUGCGUCAAAACUAGUUAGAUUCCUCACUUGUACCUAUUCGUGGAUUCUUACAAAUCUGGAACCAACUUCCUUCAAUAAGUGAAUGUCUUUGCACUGCGAGGUACAUGUCUGUGGGAGAAUCCCUUGGUUCUCAUGGUCUGCAUUCAUUUGCAGAAUUCUUGCAGUGUCACAUCGAAUCUCCUGAAGCCAGUUCUUUUCUAACCAGCAGACGGAAGCCUUUCACUGUAUUGAAGCCAAUCAGUCUGAACAUUAUGGAUUCAGAGAAGUCUGCACGAAAAGGAGGCAGGCAACACCGUGGCAACACUGUGGUUGAUUUGCCUGAAGAUCUUUAUGAACUCUACAAGUCUGACCAUGAAGAGAGCUACAACCAGUGCAAAAACCCGAUCCAGUGGAUCCGAAGAUAUUGUGCAGGGCAAUGGUUCAAGUACAGGUUUGUAACACCUGAAUAUGCUGAGAAAAAUGCCAUCAAGCACCCUUGGGGUGAUUGUCUGUACCGCAACUUGGUACCGAAGACUAAGGCUGAAGCUAUUGAACAGGAGUUCUAUCCCUGUAUGGUCAGAGGACCACAGCCUGAGAAUGCCGACCCAUCAUCUCUUCUAUGGUGUCGUGAAGACAAUCUCUUCAAGCGCAACUUUCAGUUUGCAAGAGAUUCAGCUGUUAAGAACUAGAAGGAGUUUGGCCUCAACUUCAACCCUUCCCCUCUGCUCCCAGGUCAGAUGGAACUCGUGAAGCCAAUGAAAAUAGGAUUGGCCCCUUCGCCAACUUCAAUGUGCUUCUGUCUCAUAUUGCUGCCUAGAGAGCUGUUGUGGAGCAAUCUGCUGAAGAAGCAGAUUCUGAUAAUGCUCCAUCACCACCAAAGCAGCAGAAGAAGAAGAAGGCAAAAGCUUCAAAGCCAUCUGCCCCUGCUGCUCCAAAAGCUUCAACCAAGAAGUCACUAAAAUCUGCAGCUCCUGAAUCCAAUGUGUAGUCUGAAGAUUUGUCUCGUGUGUCCAAGAGGACCAACAAGCCAUUGCCCAAGAAGGCUACUGGGCAACCCCUCACUCCUACUGCCGUUCUCCGCAACGAGGAAGACACCAUUGAUCUGUCAAGCGAUGAAGAUCUUUGUGAUGAAGCUCUAGAGAUGUUGAUCAAGAGCAAGCAAGAGGCGGAGAUCUUCAGUGAUCUGCCCCUCUUUGGUGUUGACAUCUUGAAUAACUUCAUUGAUGAGUGGUUCGACGACCAAAACAUCAGCAUUGACAGUCUGCAGCUGCCAGUGGGCAUCAGCGUCACAUUCCAUGGAGCCAUUGAAGAUGAGCUUGCCCUGGCACUGAGCAUCAUCAAGCUCAAAAAUAAGAUUGAUUAUGAGAAGGCUCAUUUCAAGAAGAACAUGCACAAGCUCGGUGUGACAGAUGUGCAAAUCUUAAAGAAGAUGUUGCAUGAUGUCUACUACACAACCUUCUUCUUGUAGACGUUGUUGGGCCUCCAAGUGCAGAGGUUUGUAGGACAGUAGCAAAUUUCCCUCAAGUGGAUGACCUAAGGUUUAUCAAUCCGUGGGAGGCAUAGGAUGAAGAUGGUCCCUCACAAACAACCCCGCAACCAAAUAACAAAGAGUCUCUUGUGUCCCCAACACACCCAAUACAAUGGUGAAUUGUAUAGGUGUACUAGUUCGGCGAAGAGAUGGUGAUCCAAGUGCAAUGCGGAUAGUAGAUAUAGGUUUUUGUAAUCUGAAAUUAUAAAAACAGCAAGGUAACUAAUGAUAAAAGUGAGCAAAAACGGUAUUCCAAUGCUUCGAAACAAGGCCUAGGGUUCAUACUUUCACUAGUGCAAGUUCUCUCAACAAUAAUAACAUAAUUGGAUCAUAUUGUAAGUGCAUCUAGUGCCACCCCUAGUUGGUUUUGGAGUAUUGACGACAAAGUUGGUUGAGGGACUAAUGCGUUUGUAAGAAUUGCAGGAUAACGCAGGUAGUGUCCCUCAUUGAUUCGUUUUACCUACCGGAGAUGACCCCUAAAAAUGUAUGAAGACAUUGAAGACAAUGGUGGUAUGAGAAGAUAUUCACAUUGAAGACUAUGACAUGAGAAGACAUUGCGUGAAGACUUUGGAGCGCGAAGACUGUGUGGUUUCGUUGUUUCCUUUUCUUCUUUGUUGAGUCAUAGGAACCACCAUACUGUUAAGUGGGGUCCAAGUGAACUAAGUCAGAGUGACUGAAGUGAUGCUCAACCCAAAUCCUAUGUCUUCGAGCGAAGACAAUGAGAGCAAAUCUUAUCCAGAGCUGGAUGAGUCAGCUUUGCUUGUAGCCCAAGUAAAGUUGCCGCGUGUGUUUGAAAUCUGACCGUUGGAACACGUGUCAGUUCCUUAGUGACCUAGGGUCAUUUUGGACAAAUCAGGUCGGGUUGCCUAGUGGCUAUAAAUAGCCCACCCCCUACACCAUAAAUUGGUGGCUGCUCAGAGUUUGUGCACGGCUUUUGUCGUUUGAGAGCAACCCACCUCGAAGCAUUUGAGAGAGAGAGAAAUCCUUGCAAGGACAAAGCCCAAACACCCAGAGCCAGAGAGUGUUAGGCAUCACUGAAGUCUUUCUGUCUGUGUGACCUGAAGACUUAUUACACUUGAGGACUGUGAAUCCUCCAGCCGUUUAGGCGUCACGUUCUGAGCAUCCAAGAGUCAUUGUGGAUUGCCGGUGAACGAAGUCUGUGAAGGAAGUCUCCCUUGAAAACUUACCAGAGUGAUUGGGCGAGGACUGGGUGUCCUUAGCUCAAGGGGAAUAAGGUGAAGACACGGUCUUCUGAGUUAAAUCUCAGCCUCCCUAACCAGACGUACAGUUGUCACAGCAACUGGAACUGGUCCAACAAAUCAUGUGUCUUCAACAAGCAACUGGUUCUAUCCCUUCCAACCUUACUUCAGUUUGUCUUCAUGAAGUCAUUGCUUAUCUGCUUAUCUGUUUGACUUCAUUGCUUGACUACUAUUGUUUAUUGGCUUCAGACUGUCUUCCAUCCUGAUCCUUACUACCUUACUGCUAUUAGUCAUGUACUUUCACAUCAUUAUAUACUUGACUAUGGCUUGUUCAGGGUAGUUUAUCUUCCGCUGCAUAUCAAUUAGGUUGUUUCUGUUGUUUGUCUUCGAAACCUACAAGUUUUGAAGACUUUCAUAAAAAUCGCCUAUUCACCCCCCUCUAGUCGAUACUAGCACUUUCAAUUGGUAUCAGAGCGAGGUACUCCCUUGUUCUGUGUGAUUCGGUUUAACCAGCUGGAGUUUCAGCUAUGUCGACUGCAGGGAUAAUCAAGGUCUCCGCUGCUUGCCCCGUGUUCGAUGGAACUGAAUAUCCCUACUGGAAGAAUAAGAUGCGCAUGCAUCUUGAAGCCAUUGAUGUCGACCUCUGGUAUGUCGUCAAGAAUGGCGUUCCCAAGACUGGUGAAGGUGUCACCCCCACUAAUGUCAAGAAGUUUGUUCAACUGGACUCUACUGCGAAGAACAUCAUCUGUGGUCAUCUGACCAAAGGACAGUAUGGUCGUGUGAGUGCUCUGGAAACGUCGAAGCUAGUCUGGGACUGGCUAUCCAAGGUCAAUGAAGGUGUUUCAACCCAGAGAGAUCAAAGAAUCAGUGUUCCCCACAACCUCUUCAACCGCUUCAAGAUAAACGACAAUGAGAAUGUCCAGCUCACGUUUGAUCGCCUCACUGAUAUCACAAAUGAACUUCAAGCUCUUGGCGCAACUGAAAUUACCAAGCAUGAAAUCGUCUAGACACUGCUAAGAUCACUUGACAGCUCCUUUGACACCCUUGCCCUCAUGAUACAAGAACGUCCUGACUUUAAGACACUCGAUCCGUCUGAUAUACUUGAGAGGCUCAACACACAUGAGUUCCAGCUAUCUGAGAAAAGAGAUAUCUAUGGUCCAAGCUAUGGCCAAACUCGUGCUUUGAAGGCGAAAGUUGUUUCCUCAUCUGAAGAAGAAUCUAACUGCAGUUCUGAAGAUCCUGAAGACAUUGGAAGGGAACUUGCUAUGCUUGUGAAGAAGUUCUAGAAAUUCACGAAGAAGAAAGGCUUCAGAAAGUCUUCACGAUCUAGCUCAAGGAAUGAUGAAGCUUCCACACAUGAUCACAAGAAGAGAACCUGCCACAAGUGCAAGAAACCUGGUCACUACAUAUCUGAGUGUCCACAGUGGGACAAUGAGAAGAAGAAGAAGAAAAGCAAGGAAUAUGAUUCUGAUGACAAGAAGAAGAAGAAAUCCUCAAAGUCUUCUAAGUUUUCUUCCAAGUCUUCAUCAUAUAAGAAGAGCUUAUCUGGCAAGGCUCGUGCUUUUGUUGGCAAGGAAAUGGAUUCAGAGGAGGAGUCUGCUUCUGAGGAGGCGGAGGUGGAGUCUGGAGAGGAGUCUGGAGAGGAGUCUGACCCUGGUGUUGCAAGUCUGGCCCUAGCCACAGCCUAUGUUGCCAAGUCCAUCUUCAACACUGAAGACAAUGACUUCCACACCAACGCUGAAGCUAAUGACGAAGACGAUCCUACUCCCACCUACUGCUUCAUGGCACGUGGUGCCACAGUAAAAUCACGCGAUGCUUACUUUCAAACUUCAAGUGAAGAUGACUCUGAUUGUGAAUCCAAACCCAGCUAGAAAACACUUGCUAAAAUUGCAACUGAACAACAAAAGGCUAUGGAACAUACUCAAAAACUGUUAGACAAAAGCGAUGACCUAUUGGACGCUGAAAUGACACAUUCACAGUCCUUAGUUGAUGACAUAAAAAGUCUUCAUGCUAAGUACCAAGAACUUGAAGGUCGUCAUGAAUCACUCUCAACUACUUAUGAAAAGCUCUCCUAUGAUUAUCUUCAAAGGAAACAAGAGCUUGAGAAAUUGAGAGCGGCUCAUGAAGAUCUUCAAAAGGUGAAUGAGUCACUUCGCGCCCAACAGAUCAGUUCCGCUCAGGAAGGAUUUGAACCACCAUGUCUAAAAUGCAUUGAGCGUGAUAAUGCUACAUCUGUUGCUGAAUGUUCCACUGUUGCUACUGUUUCAUUGUCUUCACCUACUGAUGUGGUCACUAACCCCUCUGUGGAGGAUACCACUGCUGUUGCUGAUGAAAAUGCUAUGUUGAAGACAUUGCUUGAAACAGGGAUGUACAAAAGUUUGAAGGGACAUCAGACUCUCUGCGAUGUCCUCAAAAAGCAGAUUCUGAACCGAAACCCUAGGAAAGAGGGUGUUGGGUUCGAGAGGAAAAUGAAUGUUGAUGGCUCGUACUGGAAGCCUGAGCAGUACCCCAAAACCACAUGGGUUGCUGGAAAGGAACCUUUAGUGGAUCCAUCUACCUUAUCUGGCUUUACCUGUGCUAAUCCUAUUAUCAUUGAUGAAUCCUUUGAUGCAAACUAUAAGCUGUUCAAAAAUCAGAAUGGUGAAGUGUUUGACAAGUACAUUGGUACUAACUGCAGGAAUGGACCACCUAUGAAGAAGAUCUGGGUACCUAAGCGGUACAUUGAGAAUCUUCCUGUGAAUGUCGUCAUGACACCACCUAGGAAGAAGAAAAACCCCAGACCUAUACCUUCAUAUGGCCCAAAGGCUUCAUACAGAUACAGGACUCACAUGAGUCACCCUAACGCCAAUGUUUUGCAGAGAAAUCAUACUCAGACUUAUGAAUAUGAGCGUGUAUCUUUGAACCGCUAUGUUCAUAGGACUAAGAACUUUUCUGCUUAUUUAUAUGAGUAUCAUUCAUCUCCUGCAAGGCUAUUUGCUAGGGCUUCAAAGCCAAAAUUCUCAGAUGCUGCACUUAGACUCAUUGCUUCUAAGCCCCCACUGAAAAUGUGGGUGGCAAAGAAGAACUAACUCUCUUUUGCAGAAAAUGGUCUCCAGCCAGCAAUCAAUGGCGUCUGAUACUAUUGCUGGGGACCUAAAACUUACUAAGGACGCACAAUGAAAUGUCAUUCUAUAUACUUCAUCUGAAUUUCUUAUCAGUCAUACUAUGUCCUAACCUUGAUAUAAGCUGUGAAUAUCCCUAUAUGUAUCAAAUACAUAUGCUUCACAACACUUGUGUGAAGCCUAUCCUCCUAACUGCACUGUAGGGUACAUCACCAAAAGCUUCAGAAUGGAUUAUGGACAGUGGAUGGACAAAUCAUAUGACUGGUGAUCGAAGUCUUCUCAUGGACUCAACCUUACGUCCAUCCGACAAGAGUCACAUCACAUUUGCUGACACUGGUAAAAGCAAAGUAUUGGGUCUAGGUAGAGUUGCAAUCUCAAAGGAUCAACACAUGGAUAAAGUGAUGCUUGUUGAAUCCCUUGGUUUCAACUUAAUGUCUGUCUCAAUGCUUUGCGACUUGAACAUGAUUGUGAUAUUUGGCAAAUAUCGUUGCCUUGUACUAAUGGAAUCUGACAAAUCUCUAGUCUUUGAAGGGUAUCGAAAAGAUGAUCUGUACAUGGUAGAUUUCUCAGCAGGUCCACAGCUUGCUGUAUGUCUUCUCACAAAGCUUCAGAAUGCUGGCUCUGGCAUCGAAGGCUGGGACAUGCUGGCAUGAGGAACUUACACUCACUCGUCAAGAAGAAGCAUGUCAUAGGCAUCGAAGAUGUCAAGUUCAAGAAGGAUCAUCUGUGUGGUGCCUGUGAAGCUGGAAAGAUGACAAGGGCAAAGCACCCCUCGAAGACAAUCAUGACAACAUCUCAACCCUUUGAGCUGUUACACAUGGACUUAUUUGGACCUACUCACUGCUCCACCCUCACAACAACUGCCUGUCUCUAUGGCUUCGUCAUUGUUGAUGACUACUCAAGAUACACAUGGGUUCAUAUAAUUCUGUACAAUAUUGAAGUGCAAGAUGUCUUCAGACGCUUUGCAAAUCGAGCAAUGAACAAUUAUGGUGUGAAGAUCAAACAUAUCAGAAGUGACAAUGGCACUGAAUUCAAGAACACUGGACUUGAUCUGUAUCUGGAUACAAUGGGAAUCGCUCAUGAGUUCUCUGCUCCAUACACACCUCAGCAAAACGGCAUUGUGGAGCGCAAAAACAGAAUCCUCAUUGAGAUGGCUCGAACUAUGCUAGAUGAGUACAAGACACCAAGAAAGUUCUGGCCUGAAGCUAUUGAUACAGCAUGUCACAUCAUCAACCGUGUAUACAUCCAUAAGCUUCUGAACAAAACAUCAUAUGAGCUGCUUACUGGCAAGAAGCCAAACGUCAGUUACUUCAGAGUAUUUGGAGCGAGAUGCUGGAUAAAGGAUCCCCAUCACAAAUCAAAAUUUGCACCUAAGGCUCAUGAAGGCUUCAUGCUUGGCUAUGGAAAGGAUUCACACUCAUACAGAGUCUUCAACCUUUAUCUAUACAAAAUCGUUGAAACUGUGGAUGUGAAAUUUGAUGAAACCAAUGGUUCAUAGAGAGAGAUUAUGCCAAGCACACUGGAUGAAGCCCCUUCAAACGAGGCAAUCAAGCUGAUGGGAACUGGUGAAAUCAUGCCCUAUGAAGCACAACCUGAAGAGGAACUUAUCAUCUCUGCACCAAAUCAACCUGAAGACAAUGCUUAGUCCGAAGACAAUCCUCCCAAUGAUGACAGUGACCAGCCACAGCAAAAUCUUCGUCCUGUUCAUCCUCGUGUUGCAAAUGAAGUUCAAAUAGAGAAGAUAACUGACAGCAUCAAUGCACCUGGUCCGCUCACUCGAUCAAAAGCAACACAGCUAGCAAACUUCUGUGGGCACUUUUCAUUUGUGUCAAUAUCAGAACCCAAGAAAGUUGCUGAAGCUUUUAUGGAACCUGAAUGGAUUCAAGCCAUGCAAGAAGAACUUCAACAGUUCAAACUGAAUAAUGUCUGGGAACUUGUCAAGCGACCUGAUCCACGCAAGCAUAACAUUAUUGGAACAAAAUGGAUAUAUCAAAACAAGCAAGAUGAGCAUGGUCAAGUCGUCAGAAACAAAGCACGUCUUGUGGCUCAAGGAUACACUCAAGUUGAAGGAAUUGACUUCGAUGAAACAUUUGCUCCUGUUGCUAGGCUUGAAGAUAUUCGCAUACUACUAGCCUACGCUAAUCAUCACAAUAUCUUGCUAUAUCAAAUGGAUGUAAAGAGUGCAUUUCUCAAUGGCAAGAUUGAAGAAGAAGUGUAUGUCGCACAACCACCUGGCUUUGAAGAUCCAAAACAUCCUAAUAUGGUGUACAAGCUAAACAAGGCACUGUAUGGCCUCAAACAAGCCCCUCGUGCCUGGUAUGAUACAAUCAAAGACUUCCUGAAGAGCAAAGGCUUCAAACCCGGAUCCCUCGAUCCCACUCUCUUCACGAAGACAUAUGAUGGUGAACUAUUUGUGUGCCAAAUAUAUGUGGAUGACAUAAUCUUCGGCUGCACCAACCAGAAGUACAGUGAUGAGUUUGGGUACAUGAUGCAAGAGCAAUAUCAAAUGUCCAUGAUGGGUGAGCUGAAGUUCUUCCUUGGUCUUCAAAUUCGUCAGCAGAGGAAUGGCAUCUUCAUAUCUCAAGAGAAAUACCUCAAAGAUUGCGUGAAGAAGUUUGGAAUGGAAGACUGCAAAGGCUACACGACGCCAAUGCCAGCCAAACACCAUCUUGGUCCCGACGACAAUGGUAAAGAGUUCGAUCAAAAGGUAUAUCGCUCCAUGAUUGGUUCUUUGCUUUAUUUAUGUGCAUCUAGGCCAGAUAUUAUGCUUAGUGUUUGCAUGUGUGCACGAUACCAAGCAGCACCAAAGGAAUCGCAUCACUUAGCUGUGAAGCGAAUUCUUCGAUAUUUGGCUUACACCCCAACACUCGGAUUAUGGUAUCCCAAGGGCUCAAGAUUCGAUUUGGUUGGAUUCUCGGAUGCUGAUUAUGCUGGUGACAAGGUGGAUCGCAAGUCUACAUCUGGCACAUGUCAUUUUCUUGGUCGAUCACUUGUCUAUUGGUCUUCGAAGAAGUAGAACUGUGUAUCACUCUCAACUGCUGAAUCUGAAUACAUUGCUGCUGGAUCCUAUUGUGCUCAGCUUCUAUGGAUGAAGCAAACUCUCAAGGAUUAUGGCAUCAACCUGAAACAAGUACCUCUCUUCUGUGACAACGAGAGUGCCAUCAAAAUAGCCAACAAUCCAGUCCAACACUCGAAGACAAAGCACAUUGAAAUUCGUCAUCACUUUCUCAGAGAUCAUGUUAUGAAGAAAGACAUCGAUAUCAUUCACGUCAGCACUGAAGAGCAAUUGGUAGAUAUCUUCACAAAGCCCUUGGAUGAGAAAAGGUUUUGCAAGUUACGGUGUGAGAUAAAUAUCUUAGAAUCCUCUAAUGUCCUGUGAUCAGGCACACAUCCUAACACUUAUGCAUGUUGAUGACUUAGAUGUGCAACACACAAAGUAAGGUAUAUCUUCAAUCAAUGAAGAUUUACACUCUGAGUCUGAACAUAUUAACAUGGAAUUUGACUUCGGAGCGCCACGAUAAUUGUGCGCCGUGUCUGGGUCUAAUACUUCCUAUACGGUGGGUAACGCCACCACCAACUUUUCUUGUUUGAAGUGUUUCACUCAAGGCGUUAUAUUGCAAUGACUUCGCAUUUGGUUUGUCUUCAGUUUCAAUUUGUCUUCACAACUUUCUGCACUAUGAUGAUUUGAUUGCUUUCUGAUAUAUAGAUACUAGUGUACUGUCCUCUACAGCAUUCACUUAUAGCUAUGUCUUCAAGAUUGGAUCUUUUGAACUAAGUGAAUGUGAUCGGACCCUAACCUCUCUAUGCUUUCUAUCUCAAAAUCUAUCUGUCCAAAUCAUAUGCAUUCUAUUGAAACUGUCGAAUGUCUUCUCUGCGUCCUAGUCAGCAGAAGGCAAAGAGACAAACAUUAAAUCUGUUUUAAUGGCUUAUCUUUACUGUUGAAAUCUGGAGAAGCCGGAACAACUCUCCGACAUGCCUGGCGGGCGUGGGAACGUGGGACAACCCUGAGUGUGUUGCAUGCUUGCCACGUGCCCCUCAGAAGUGAACCGCCAGGGGCACUAGCGUAAUUGCGCUGUGUCUCUCACCUACUUAUAAAUACCUGUCCCCGUGCGGUAAAGAAAUACUUCUUCCACCUCUCCACCUUCGUCAAAACCCUAGCGCCACCGCUAGCUCGCGACGACGCCGGUGACGAAGCACUUAGCUGCCGUGACUUCUCCGACGUCGUCCUCACGCCGGCCGCGGACAUUGUCCUCUCCGCCGUCGCCGUAGGUGUCCUCCGUCGCCAAGUUAGGGCACGGUGGGCUGAACUGCUCGGUCUCCUAUUCUUCUCCAUCUAGCAGUUCUUCGUGCGGUAAUUAUAACUCUGUUUUUACCACCUUUUUGAUCUUCAAAGAUUCAUCCUACUUACUGAAAGUAGUUUCUGUCUAUUCAAAGCUAGAUCUAUUCCGUCUGCAUCUCAUACUGCUUAGUCGAUUCACUGAGAUCUCUUCUAGUUUGAUUCCUCACUUGUACUUAUUCACGGAUUGGUACAAAUCUGGAACCAACUCACCUAUAUAAGUGAAUGUCUUCGCAACAUGAGGUCAAUGUCUUCAACUGAUUUUUUCUUCAAAAUCUUCUGAGAAUGCAUAUGACCUCUUCCCCUUCCCUCGCAUCUCUAAUGCUGUCACAGGUACAUGUCUGUGGGAGAAUCCCUUGGUUCUCAUAGUCUGCAUUCAUUUGCAGAAUAUUUGCAGCAUCAUAUAAAUUCUCCUGAAGCCAGUUCCUGCUUGACCAUCAAGCACAAAUCUCUGAAGCCUUUGAACGUAUUGAAGCCUUUCAGCUUAAAAUUCAUGGCAACAGAAAAAUCAGCAAGGAAGGGUGGCAGACAGCACAGAGAAGGUACAUCUAAGGAUCUGCCUGAUGAUUUAGCAAAACUGUACAAGACAGAUCCGGAGGAGAACUAUCAUCAUAGGAAGACGCGAAUCCAAUGGAUUCGACACUAUUGGGCUGAGGAGUGGUUCAAGUACAAGUUUGUCACAAAGGAAUAUGCAGAGAAGAAUGCCAUCAAGAGACCUUGGGGUGAUAUCCUCUAUCGAGGCCUUCAACCCAAGAGCCGAGCUGAAGCCAUUGAACAAGGCUUCUACCCUUGCAUGGUCCGUGGGCCACAGCCAGCGAACGCAGAUCCCACCUCACUCCUAUGGUGUCGUGACGAUUCGCUCUUCAAGCGCAACUAUCAGUUUACUGUGGCUUCGGCCAAGAAGCACAAGAAGGCCUUGGGUUUGGACUUCAACCCAGGUCCCUCUGCUCCCCGUGCUAAAGGCUCUCGUGAAGCCAAUCCCAAUGUCAUUGGCCCCUACGCCAACCUUGACGGCCUCAUCACCUACAUCAUGGUCCAAGGCGCCAGAGUUGAUCAUUCUGACAAUGGUGCUGAUCCUGAUGAAGCCCCUGCUCCUCCUCCUCCAAAGCCGCACAAGCAAAAGAAGUCUAAGGCUUCAACCUCAGCUGCACCUCCGAAGACUUUGCGUGCGAAGCCACUGGCCACUGCACCUCCUGAAGCCAGUGUGCAAUCUGAAGAUCUGUCCCGUGUCUCCAAGAGAACGGAGAAGAAGAAACAGCUUGUUAGACCAACUGAUCAACGAGCCUUAACUCCUACCACAAUUCUGCAUGACGAACCCAUUGAUCUAUCAAGUGAUGAAGAUCUUGCUGAUGAUGCUCUUGAGCAGCUGAUAAAGAGCAAGGAAGAAGCAGAAAUCUUCAGCAACCUGCCUCUCUUCCAUGUUGCCAUCAUCCACAACUUCAUUGAUGAAUGGUUCGACACCCCCAACAUCAGCUCUGAGGAUUUACAGCUCCCCAUUGGUCUCAGUGUCUCCUUCAAUGGAGCCAUUGCUUCUGAGCUAGCUCUCGCUCAGCGCAUCGUUGAGCUCAAAACAAGAUUGAUUUUGAGAAGGCUCAAUUUAAGAAGCAUGUGGCCAAUCUGAGUGUUCAAGACGUCCGCAACUUCAAGGUCAUGCUCCAUGAGCUCAAAGAAGCUUUUCUGAAGAAACGCCAAGAGGCUCAGGGCUCACGUGAGCGCAUGAAGCUUUUGGCUGACAAGUGUGUGCUUGCCUACAAUGAGGCUGAGAAGCGCAAGUCCCUUGGCCGUCCAGGCAUUGACCCCAGGAUGGCUACAAAGAGGAAGAAGAAGCACCCUGCUGAACAGCCUGAGCCUUCAAGCCAAGAAGCCCCUCGCAUUAUCUUCCCGAGCAGCAUGAUUGGCUCGAAGCCAAAGGUCACCACCACAGCUUCAGAACAGAAGAAGACAAAGGCUGCCGAGGCUGAUGCGAGAAAGAGAAAGAAUACUGAAGCUUCUGAUGCCGCCCCGUCCAAGAAGAAGCGCAAGACCAAGAAGACUAGGGCUGCUUCCACAGAGCCCUUAGUCGUUGAACCCAUUUCCGUGGUUCGCCCUGUGUCUGUUCAUCAAGAACGAAGAUUGGUUGUCCAUGAGCCUGCUACCACAGAGGCUCAUGAGUCUGAAGAUAUUCCAGCAGCUGAACCCAACGCUGCUGUAGACAUUGGUCAAGAUGACAAUGUAAAUGAUGAUGAAGUUCUUCCUCAGAUCGAACAUUAAGUGGUAUCAUCGUCUGUUCGUACGAACAGCGAAAUCAUCAGCAUUGGUCGUCCAUUGACGCCAAUUGCUUAGGAUGCUUCGUGGGCUGAUCACCCACAACACCACCAAGACUCCCCCAGUACUCCCCAACAACAACAACAAGCAACACCCCCAGUGCAAGAAGAGGCUGAAGACUUUCAGGCUUAGCCAAGUCCAUCUCCCAACUUGAAGCCAGCACUUCGCAGGCUUCGCAGAGGACAAAGGCCUGAAGUCCCUCUGUCGAGCGUUCCUGAAGGAGAAGUGCAACGUUCACCAGUUGCACGGCCAGUAUUCUCUGAACCAGCUCCAACAGUGAAUGUCUCCAUGUCUGAAGCACAUACUGCUGAAGACAUUCCGGUUGCAUCAGCCAAAGAAAAAGAAGAAGUUCGUGUACCAACUCCCCCAGCGAUUGAAGAUGAAGCAGUUCCCGAUGUGAACGUGCAUGUGCCCGACCCUCCUGCUCCUCAAGAGGAGGUUGACAAUGUUGAGGCUGCCACCACCAACACCAAUGAAGCCAGUGACGUAGUCAUGGCUGAUGCCAUUGUGGAGCCUGCACCAACCAGUGUGCCUGAAACCAAUGAGGCCCCUGUGCCUGAAGCAAAUUUGGCCACUGAGUCUGAAACCAAUGAGGAUGUUGCCCCUAAAGUCAAUCAGAAUGCUGCACCUGACGCAAAUGAGACUGCUGCACCUGACGCCAAUGAGGAUGCUGCACCCGAAGCCAACACGACAACUGCUCCUGAAGCACCUGUUGUGCAGCCUGACUCCUCUGAUGUUGCCCCUGCUCCUAUUCCGCCACCAAGGCCUCACACUAUUGAGCAAGCAUACGAUCACGGUCAGCUUGUCACUGUCCGAUGGCCCGUUCUGGUGCCUCCGCCUUCUGCCUCAGGACCCCAAUUUGACUAUCAUGUUGAGCAUCGGCCUCAUGUCCAGAAGCCAAAGCCCAAGUUGCCAAGGUUUCCAGGUACUGCCAACUCCCCCGGGUCCUUCAAUGCCAAUGGCUUCAAAAGCCACAAUACCUUCUUUGACAGCGCCAAGAACCCAUACUCCAAGCCAAGAAUUUCAUCAGAUCAGUUCUGGAGCUAUCAGCAGAGAAGCUAUUACUCAUGCGUGCUAUAUGAUCAAGGGCGCAUUUUCCCUCAUAUGCGUCUUGACACUGAAGCUAUUGCUAGACUGCCGUGCUUGGAAGAAGCACUUGAUUGCUUUCGUGAUGCUGGUCUGCUCCACUUUGUGACAGACAAGGAACAUUGGAAUGAAGAGCUAUUGCUUCAAUUCUAUGCCACUCUGCACAUUCGCGGCUACAACAGAGACAUCAAGACUUGGGUUCUCGAGUGGAUGACUGGAAAUGUUCAUCAUGAAGCCAAAGCUAUGGAUAUCAUCGAGCUUACUGGGCUAGCCACUCCUGGAGAACUAUGUGAGCCUCACUGUCAGCUACACCGCAAUGCUGUGGAGAGCAUCUUUCACAAGCCCGAACCCAAUAUGAGCCAGAUGCUGAGCAUGAUGAAGCCUUUGCCGUCUGACGCUGAGUAUCCCACCCAAUUUUUUGUUGAAGACCUUGAGUAUCUGCCUCGCACCAUAUAUCAUAUUAUCAGGCGAACUCUAUGGCCAGUCAAGGGACACUCAUCAUCGGCCAAGCUUGAAGGAGCUAUGAAGACAUUGGUCUUCUAUAUUCUCAAUGGCAUCAGCUUCAACAUUCAGGAAUUCUUCAUAAGGCAACUUGCUGCUUCCGGCUCUGACCUAUUUGGUCUGAAGUUUUAUGCUCCAUGGGUCAUGCGCCUCAUCAAGCGACACUCAUGUGUCAAUUAUCAGCCCUCUGCUCGCAAUCACAUAAUAUUUCUGCCCGAGGUUGAUAUGUCAGUUGAUGCUGUAUACUCUAACCCUGCCAAGACACCACUUUGUCUUCAGAACAUCGAGCACCAAAGCUUCACUCAGCCUAUUGAAGGUGUUCAAGCAGCAACAAGAUUCUAUCCACUUGCUGGUAACACCCGUCUGCCUCACAGAGUGCCAACUGAAGCCACUGAAAGCACCAUUGCGCAAAGGCCUCGGAAGCGUUCUCGUGUUCUCAAUGACCGAGAGCUUCUUAUGGCUCUUCAUCAGAAGCAAGAUAAGCAUCAUUUCUGGCUCAAGCGCCAAAUGCAAAGCCUCUUGGUGGAUGUCAAUCGCAUUCGCAACCUUGCCACUAAGAAUGCCUUUGUUGCUCAUGAAACUUGCCGAAGAUCAUGGAAGAGUUUGACUCUGCUCAGUGCUGAAGCUGAUCUUCAAGAUGAUGGCUUCAAUGAAAGAUUCCAGUUCGACUCCACUCCUCCAAGGACUGCUACCCUGCGUCGAACUCCAUCUCUUGAAGACUCUGAAUAUUCCUCUUCCGCGGCAAUAGUUAAUGCCCGCGCAAGAUCAAGAAUCAAUGGUGGUUGAUCUUUCUGCUCAGCCCAGUUCUGCUACGGAUCUGGUUCAGCCUGUUAUUGUCGUGGAUGAUCUGCCUGACGACCCUGCUCUACCUUUGGUUAAUGAGGAUGCUGUUAACAACUGGGCCAUUGUUCUCUAUCAGCCUCCUGCUUUCAGGGAGGAGAUUGUUCUGCCUGCGGUUCCUUUUGGGCCUCCUCUGCCUCCGGAUAUGAUCUGGAGGAGAUCAUUUGAGAAGCUUUUGCAGGCUCCUGUGGCGUUCUCAGUUCCAAGGCCAGUUCUGCUGCAACCUCUUUCACCGGUUAUUCUGUCUAAGCGGAGUUGGGAUAUGGCUUUCAGUGAGAAUGAUCUGCCAUGUCUUACAUGGAGGGAUCAAGAGCAAGCAAGGCCGGUUGCCAGGGCGCUUUUUUCUAAUAAUUUUGAUGUUCAACCAGUGCAGGUUCCACCCCCUCCUGCUGCGGUGGUUAAAGCUCGCAGGCCACGCAAAACCUUGGCGCCAACUCCAAUAGUUCACACCGCAGUACGGCGCUGCACUAGAAGCUCAAUUCAGUGUGAUGGUUUCAAGCCCACCUUCCAGGAGCUCGCCCUGCAGCCCAAGAGAAAGAAGCCCAAGGCUAAGCCCUUCACGGCCCAGAUGCAUGAUGACCCUGCUUCUGAAGGAAUUCCACCUGCAACUCCUGUCAGUCGACUCCAAGAAGUUGGUCGUCAGCUAGAAAUUGACGCUGCUCUAUUAUCUGAGGAUGCACUUAUGGUGGAUCCAACUGCUGCUGCCUCGCCUAAACAUGAUGAUUAGUUUAAUCAUGCUCUUUUGGGUUUCGCAAGCCCUUAAAUAUGCUUUAUCUUUGUCUGUAGGCAGUAUGCUGCUACUUGUUCUCUGGUGUGUGUUGAUGUUGGGUCAGACUGGUUUCUGUUUCUUUUGGACAUGUGGUAUUGCGUACCAUGUGGGUUAUGGACUUAAUCUUAUAUUGUAAUGAGUAACAUUUGUAGGAACUGGAAUGUUCUUUGCUGGAAUGUCAGAGGUCUCAAUUCUGAAACUAGACAGAGGGCUGUUAGGCAGAAAAUUGAUGAAAGCCAAUGCUCAAUCGCCUGCCUACAAGAAACCAAAUGUGCAUCUUUUGAUUAUAGAUCAAUUAAAUCUUUCUGCCCUAAAAGAUUUGACUCAUUUGUGUGUUCUCCCUCUAUUGGUGCUUCUGGAGGAAUUAUAGUGGUCUGGAAUUCUUCUGUUUUUAGUGGCAUUGUAAUUGAAGUACAUCAGUUUGCUGUAAUUGUUCAGUUCACUUCCAGGCAGAACAAUGAUUCUUGGACUCUUGUUGCAGUCUAUGGCCCUUGUAGGGGUGAAGCCAGGGACCAAUUUGUCAAUUGGUUAUACAACUUGACUAUUCCUCUCAAUGAGCACUGGUUGUUAUUUGGUGACUUUAAUUUCCUUCGGUCAGUGGAUAACAGAAACUUGCCUAGUGGGGACAUAAAUGACAUGUUCAUUUUUAAUGGAUUAUUGGCCACCUGGGCCUUCUUGAGCUUCCAAUCAAGGGCAGAUCUUACACAUGGUCUAAUAUGCAAGAUAUCCCACUUCUUGAGCAGCUAGAUUGGUUCUUUACUUCUGUGGAUUGGAUUUCUGAUUAUCCUAUGACUGAAGUUUUGCCCCUGGCCAGGACUGCCUCAGAUCAUGUGCCUUGUUUAGUCACCAUCAAGACUUCCAUUCCAAAAUCAAACCUCUUUAUGUUUGAAAAUUAUUGGAUUGAGCUUGAUGGCUUCAUGGACUGUGUUGAAUCUUCUUGGAAGCAACCCUCUCAGAAAGCACAUGUUACUGCUAGGAUUGCAGACAAACUUAAAAGCCUAAGAAUGUGCCUUAAAAGGUGGAAAAUGAAUGUUUCCAAACUGAGGUUGCUGAUCAGUAAAUGCAAUCAUGUUAUUUUCCUCUUAGAUGAAUUGGAAGAAUGGAGGCCUCUUUAUAUUCAGGAGAAUAACUUCAGAAAAAUUGUAAAAAAUCAUUUGGAAAAGCUCCUGCACCUGCAAUUUCUUUACUGGAAAAAGAGAUGCACCAUCAGAUACUUCAAGGUGGGAGGUGAGAACACCAAGUUCUUCCAUGCUAUGGCCACUGAGAGGCAUAGGAGGAACUCCAUAGCUAGUCUGAAGCUACCUGAUGGAUCUGUUGUCUCUGAUCACUCUCAAAUGGCUGGAAUUGUUUGGAGCUGUUUUAAGAAUAGAAUGGGCACUUCUAGAGGGAUUAAUAUGGGGUUUGAUCUGUCCUCACUUAUUUCACCAGUGGAUGGCCUUGAUGUGCUCACUAAGCCUUUUAUAAAAGAGGAGAUGGACAGUGUUGUCAAACAUAUGCCUGUUGAUAAGGCACCUGGACCUGAUGGUUUCAAUGGUUUGUUUUUUAAAAAAUGUUGGCAUCUUAUCUCUCAGGAUUUUUAUGAGCUAGCUCAGGCUUUUUAUGAUGGCACUGCUGUUUUAGAAAACAUUAACAGCUCCUAUAUCACUCUUGUGCCCAAGAAGUUAGCACCUGAAGAAAUAGGAGACUACAGGCCUAUCUCUCUUACUGGUAUGGGGAUUAAAUUUAUGUCAAAAAUGGCUGCAAAUAGAUUUCAAGAUGUGAUUAUGCAGUGCAUUCAUAAGAAUCAAUAUGGUUUCAUUGAGUCCAGAACAAUCCAGGAUUGCCUUGGGUGGACAUUUGAAUAUUUGCACCAAUGUCAUCAGUCUAAGAGGCCCAUUGUCAUUCUCAAAUUGGACUUUGAGAAGGCUUUUGACUCUGUUGAGCAUGAGGCUAUCUUCCAAAUCCUAAGGUUUAAGGGCUUGAAUGAUAAGUGGAUUCUUUGGAUGAAGCAGUUCCUGGCCUCUUGCACAUCAUCUGUUUUGCUUAAUGGGGUUCCUGGGAGGAAAUUUGUUUGCAAAAAAGGGGUUAGGAAGGAUGACCCUGUAUCCCCUCUGCUUUUUGUUAUUGCUGCAGAUCUGCUCCAAACAGUGAUCAAUGACAUGUUCAGAAGAGGAAUUCUUCACCUACCUAUACCUUGCCAUGAUGCAGAUUAUCCUGUGAUUCAAUAUGCUGAUGAUACAUUGAUCAUACUACCUGCUGACAGAGCCCAACUCCUGGCUUUGAAGGAUAUGUUAAAGGUUUUCUCUCAGUCGAUUGGUCUGGAUGUCAAUUACCAUAAGUCUUUUAUUAUCCCAAUCAAUGUUGAGUCUGCUGUCAUGGAAGAUUUGGCAACUGCUUUUGGUUGCAAAAUUGGAAAAAUGCCAUUUACAUACCUUGGAUUGCUUGUGGGGACCACAAGGCCCAAAAUGGUGGAUUUCAUGCCUUUGGUGGACUGUAUGGAAAGAAGAAUGACUGCCAGUUCUUCUUUCCUUAACCAAGGUGAAAGCUUGCAGUUCCUUAACUCUGCUCUUUCUUCAAUGCCAAUAUUCUUCCUGUGUAGCCUUGCUCUGCCAGCAGGUAUUCUCAAGCAGCUUGAAAGAAUUCAAAGACAGUGUCUGUGGAGAAAGCAUAGGGAUCAGCCAACACCUUCUCUUGCUGCUUGGAACCUAAUUUGCAGGCCAAAAAACAAAGGAGGACUAGGCAUUCUUAAUCUGGGAGUUCAGAAUGUGGCUCUCCUUCUCAAGCAUGUUAAUAACUUUCUGAAUAAACGAGAUAUCCCUUGGGUGUCCUUAGUCUGGAAUUCAUAUUAUUUCAAAAGAAUGCCCCAGGUAACAACUGAAUGUGGAUCCUUCUGGUGGAGAGAUAUCUGUAAAGUCAUGCCGCACUUCAGAGACUUCUCCUGGGUUCAAAUUAAUGAAGGGGACACUUCCCUUUUUUGGGCUGAUAAUUGGAACCUUGAUAACACAGCGUCUAGUCUGCAAACAAGAUUCCCAAGGCUCUACUCUUUUGCCAAGGAUCCCUGGAUCUCAGUUAAGGAAUCUUUCAAUACCCAGGAUAUGCAUCAACUCUUUCACCUACCCUUAUCUGCUCAGGCAUUUGAUGAGUUGAACCAGAUUUAGGAAUUGGUGAAUUCCCACAGCAGAGAAUCAAGUUUGACAGAUGUUUGGUUCUGCCAAGGAUCUACCAAGUUUUUCAAACCCAAGAUGUUCUACUCACACACUUUUGUGUCUGAAUCCUUCAAUCCUUUGCUAUGUGGGGUCUGGAAAUCCUCUUGUACCCUCAAGAUCAAGGUUUUUGCAUGGAUGCUUAUUAUGGACAGGUUGAACACCAAGGACAUGGUUGAGAGAAGGCACUGGCACAUGGAUGAUGGGGUCCAUUGUAGGCUUUGUCCCUUGCAGGUUAGAGAAACCAGAGAUCACAUGUUCUUCAACUGCAAUUUCAGUGUCAGGGUCUGGAAUUAUCUGCAGAUUGACUGGUCUACUGGAACCUCCAUGAUGCAGCAGGUUGCUCAGGCCAGAAGGAGUUUUGAUAAGCCCUUUUUCUCUGAAGUGGUUUUCAUUGCUUGCUGGAAUAUUUGGAUCAUCAGAAAUGCCAAAGUUUUCAGAAAUGAGAGAGCUAGUUUCAAUAAAUGGAGGUUUGCUUUUAAGCAUGAUAUUAGCCUGAUGCAGCACAGAAUCAAAUCUGUCUACAAGGAUGAUCUGCUUAGAUGGAUCUCUUUUCUCCCACCUUAAGCUAGUUUUUGUAAGCCCCACUUUUUCUUCUGUUACCUUGUACCCUGGUUACUCCUUGUAAUCACCCUGUUGUAUUACUUAUCCUCUUUUUCAAUAAAGUUUUGAUAUGCUGUGGGGGUUUUGCCCCACAGUUCCAGUAAAAAAAACAGUUAAUGCCAGAGUGAUCGAUGAUGAAGAUGACGCUACUUCACCACCUCCGACUACAACUGUGCGCAUCGACACUGCACCAAGUUCGUCUGCACCGCCAACCAACGACAACGACCCAACUGCUUCUCCUACUCAUGACGAGUAGAUGCUCUAUGUCUUCAAACCUUUUUGGUCAUUACUGACAAAAGGGGGAGAAGCGUAUGAGUUAAUAGUCUUCAAGCGGGUUCAUAUGGGCGGUUGCAUUAUAUUUUGCUGCAUGCUUACAACUCUUGCAUUUUGAAACAUUUGGUUCUUUGAGUUGUAACACCAUAAACUUGAUGGUCGUCUUCUACUUCUGCUACUUGUUUGCUUUACUAUGAUGCGAUGAUAAAUUCCGCAUGUGUGACGAUAACUUCCACACUUAGAUCAUUCUGCAGACGUCCAUUUUUCAUUAUGCAUGUCAUAUUACUUGCUAUAUCAUUUCAUGCAUGACGAAUUAGCUUCAUAAGUUGAAGUGGAUCUCCACAAGUACAACCUGCCAUGUGCAUUUGCAAUCCAAAAGCAAAUUACUUAUAUGCACAUCUUCAGGGGGAGCCCUUGCAACUUAUGAAGACAAUUCCCUAUCCUUACAAUUUCACAUACUUUAUCCCCGUUGAAAACUUCAACCAGUUUGUCAUCAAUCACCAAAAAGGGGGAGAUUGUAAGUGCAUCUAGUGCCACCCCUAGUUAGUUUUGGAGUAUUGACGACAAAGUUGGUUGAGGGACUAAUGCGUUUGUAAGAAUUGCAGGAUAACGCAGGUAGUGUCCCCCAUUGAUUCGGUUUACCUACCGGAGAUGACCCCUAAAAAUGUAUGAAGACAAUGAAGACAAUGGUGGUAUGAGAAGAUAUUCACAUUGAAGACUAUGACAUGAGAAGACAUUGCGUGAAGACCUUGGAGCGUGAAGACUGUGUGGUUUCGUUGUUUCCUUUUCUUCUUUGUUGAGUCAUAGUGAUGCGGAGCAUCCUUCCACCAUCCCCAUGGACUCUACAUCGACACAUCUAACCCCACAAGGACCUAUGACUCGAGCACGUGCAAGAGCUCUCGAAACCGAGGUGACAUCACUCCUAUCACAACUCUCCUUUGAUUCACAUGAGACAUGGUUGCUACCUCAAACGGAAACUCUAUGCAUACUCAAGUACCAAGGAGUCAACCAUGAAGAGGCUAGGAAUCAAGGAGAACCGGAAGCGGAAGACAUGCAUGAAGACGGAGAGGAGAAAGCAACAAGGACCAGAGAGUUCGGACGAUCCGUACGGAGGCCCGAACGAUCCGAACAGAGCCCGGAUGAUCCGGACCCCGGUCCGUACGAUCCGGCUAAUUCCACCGAAGGCAACAGAAGCUCCCUCCCGAAGCCGGAUCAUCCGGACCCCGUCCCGGAUCAUCCGGACCCUACCCGGACGUUCGGACCGUCAGUCGGACAUCCGGCCCUGCGCCGCCACCAGCCGGGCACCCGGACCAUCCGGGCCUCCACCCGGAUCAUCCGGACCAGCCCGGAUCAUCCGGACCCCCGUCCGGAUCAUCCAGCCAGCGCCUGUGUGCGCGUGUUGGGCUGAGCCCAUGUACCCCUUCGCCCCAAACUCUAUAUAUAGGACCCCAUCUCCUCACUUUGAGACUUAGCAUUGGAUUAGCUCAUAUUUGUGUGAGAGCCUUUGCUCAUCCACUCGGUUACUUCUCCUUGGAGAUCAGGACCUCCGUCUAGGAGAAGAUCCCUCAGCGGAUUCAAGACCCCUAUCUAGGGAAGAACAUCAAGGCCUCCUCUUGGAGAUGAACGGUUCCUUUGUAUCCUUACCCUAGUUGACUAUGUAUCUUGUGGAUCUCAUGUGUGUAUGUUGAUCUAGCACUUGUGUGAUCGAUUCCUUGUUGGUUGAGUGAUUCUCUCUCGUUUUCCCCGUGUUUCCCCUCGUGCUUCCGCGUGUUCUUCGUGUUUCCUCCGUAGGAUCCCCUCCAAACGUGAAAGAUCAACGAAUUAGGGUUCCACCCUACAUCAUAUGGUAUCAUGAGCCACGUUGAUCACGUUUUUGGAGCCCCUACCCCGUGAUUUCUAGCUUGAUUUUGUUGUUUUCGUCCUAAAAAUCUGAAAAUCCCCACAAAAAUACCCCCAAUUUUUUUUGUGAUUUGUUGGUUUUGAUGAUGUUUUGUUGUUUUUGAUCCGUGGAUUCGGUGUGUAACUCGUGGAUCUUGCUUUUCCCCACCUUCUCCCCCUCGAAAUCCACCCAAAAUCCCCGAAAUCGUCAAAUUUCUCCCCGUUUUCGUGUUCUUCCCGAGCAGUUCCCGUGCGUGGUUGACCUGCCCGGAUCAUCCGGACCAAGUCCCGGAUCAUCCGGACUCGCCCGGAUCAUCCGGCUCCUGGCCCGGAUCAUCCUGCUUCCUCUGCCGAAACUGCACUUGUGCAGUCCCCCAUCCACCACCACCACCAUCCACACCUACAUACACCCUCCCCACCCCAUCUACCACCACUUCCACUAGCCAAACCCCCACGACACAACCUCCGUACUACCAUUCGAAGUUGAGUUCGACAAUUUGAGUGAGAUUUCCGUGUCCUUUUGUGUUUCGGCUAUCUAGGCGCGGUGCGACAUCAACAACAAACGCUCAUUUUGGUCGACUAUUCAUCUUCGCUACGGACGGUAACAUCGACGACAUCUUUGUCAUACCUUGCAAUUGCAUUGAUAACCAUCAUAUACCAUAUUUUGCGUUGCUUACCCAUCGAGACUAGCCAUUGAGUAUUGCCGGCAACGUGACUUGUGCACAUUAGUUGCAUACACCAUAUCAUACAUACCAUCGAGGUGCAUAUCUUGGAAUCAACUUGUGUGUCACAAAGUUGUCAUCGCAUACACAAUUGCUAUCUUAGUUCGUCAAGUUUGCAUAAGAAAAGAGCUCAAAAGAGAAAGAGCCACUCAAGCUUUUAAGCAAAGAGGAAAGAUAAGCAAAGAGCUUAUAAGCAACAAGCAUAGCAUCAUACAACAUUAAGAUUGUCACAUAAGAUCAUCUUGGAUCAUUGCACCGAUACACCAUACAUAUAGAAUACUUGGGAUAGAGAUCGUUGCAUUUUUGCCUAGUAGGUUGUGCACAAGCUCCGUAUCCGCCUAUUGUGCAAUCGUGCUAGCGUCUCUCUAGUAUUGUGCAACAAGAGCAUUUUCGUGGAUUCCACAUUUUGGCUCACUUUUGGUUUGCACAAUCCCAUUUAUCUAUUUGCGUGUGUGUUUCCGUGUACCACUACUUGCUUGGUCUACUUGUUGCAUAUACGAAUUUGCGAAUCUUCUUCAACAUUUUUGAGUCAAGCUAACGAUUGCAAUCAAUUUUGUGCCACCAUCCUAACCAAGCUCCACCAAAAGCUUUUACUUGUGUAGGUGUGAGAAUCGACAAGGAUCGGUACCAAUAGUGCUAUUUCAUUGUCCGCAUUUGAGUGAACUUGAUUCAUCUUCAACUUCGGUCAAAGGUACAUUGGUAUUCGUUCUUCUCCUUCUACAACUCACAAUUUGCUUGAAAUGAUGGAUAGGCCAAGUUCUUCUACAAACCCACUCUUCAUCGAGCAAGACGACGACAUGUCAUCAUACGUCACCAAGAACCACCUCUUUGGCGCACAACGAGCUCUCCAUCAAGAGCAACAACCAAUGAGCGAACGCAUCGACAAACUCUCCACCGACUUGCGACUCUCCGAGCAACGUACAAGAGAAUACUUCGACAACAAGCUCAACGCACACAAGAAAGAGAACGAUGCAAGAAUGGACGAGAUCCGCGCCUUGUUGGUGAACUGGCGUACUUCUAGUUCCUCACACUCAAGACGGAGCCACUCCAGUCGCCACUCUGACGACUCCUUCUCCGACACAAGUACACCGUCAUCGAACACUCUUCGACGAGCCGCGCGUCAAGAUCGUCAUGCAUCUCGCAACCCGCUACACGACAAGAAUCUCCAAGAGCAAGUUGAUGAAGAAGUUCCCUGUCCUCAAUCGAACCAAGUGGCGUUUGCUCAAGCUCAAGAAUGACAACGUCUUCGUCGCCAACAAGAACAAGAACGAGCGCGCCUACAUCAAGAGCAACAAGACGCCGAGGCCCAACGUCUUCAACAACAACAUCGAGAAGCACACGCUCUUGAGGCGGAACGUGCCCUUCAAGCAUCAAGUCGAGCUAUCGCCAACCGCAAUCGCGAAAGGCGCAAUCAAGAAGAAGCCCUUCGAGAAGAAAUACAAGAGAGGAACUACCAUCCGCGUGCGCAACGUCAAACCCCACAAGCUCCUCCACAAGCUCCUCAAGAUCAUCCCCAGCCUCAAGGUCAACAAGAGCAAGUUGAUCAUGGACUUCCUCCUCGCCAAGAGCAACAUGAGAAUGAUUACCCUCCACGUCAAGAACGUCAUCAUCAACAUCGACCUGAACACAAUGAAGAACAACGCUAUGGCAAGCUCAAGUUCACAAUGCCCAAGUUCAAUGGAAGCAAUGAUCCCGAAGAGUACCUCUCAUGGGCAUUGAAGGUCGACAAAAUCUUUCGUUUGCACAACUAUGAUGAAGAAAAGAAGAUCGCUAUGGCAUCACUUGAGUUCCAAGACUAUGUGCUCAUAUGGUGGGAACAAGUCCUUGAGCACCGACAAGCAAGAGGUGAACCUCCAAUCACCACUUGGGCUCAAAUGAAGGAUGUCAUGUGAGCACGCUUUGUGCCCACCUACUACAACCGUGAUCUCUUCAAGAAGCUACAACUCCUCAAACAAGGAACAAAGAGUGUUGAAGAAUACUACAAGGAAAUGGAGAUUGUCAUGAUUCGAGCCAAUGUCACGGAGGAUGAUGAGCAAACAAUGGCAUGAUUCUUGAAUGGACUCAACCAUCCCAUCAAGAAGAUCACCGACUUCCAACCCUACUCCAACCUCAUUGAGCUCGUGCAUCAAGCUACAAAGGCGGAACGACAAGUGCAAGAUGACUUCAAGUACGCCAAGUACUCAUCCAAGACAUACGGCUUCUCCAACAACCAAGCUUCAACAACUACUCCAACUUCGACAUCAACCAAGCCUUCUCCAAGCAACGACGACAAGUCAAGUUACAAAAAAGCUUCUACAAGUUCAAGUCGUCUUCCUCCUACUACAAGCAACUCCAAGCCGCGUGCUUCAUCAUCUACUCCAACCGAUGAGACCGUCAAGACAAGCUCCUUCAAGUGCUUUAUUUGCGGCGGCCGAGGCCACAAGUCAUAUGAAUGCACCAACAAGCGCACCAUGAUACUCAACGACGAUGGCACAUACGACUCAAUGAGUGAAGAUGAAAUGGAAGCUAUUGAGCAAGUGGCCAUGCACCGGCGCAUCAACGAGGAUGAAGAUGAUCAAGUCUUUUGUGACGAAGAUACAAGUCCCGCUCUUGUUGUCUCCAAAGUCUUGACACUUCAACAUCAACAAGAAGAAGACCAACGAUGCCACAUCUUCCACACAAAGGCCGGCAUCAAUGGGAGAUCCGUCAAGGUCAUCAUCGAUGGAGGUAGUUGCCACAACUUGGCAAGCGAAGAACUAUGCUCCAAGCUCCAAUUGGUCAAGAAGAAGCAUCCGCAACCCUACAAGGUUCAAUGGCUAAGUGACUCCGGUAGUAUACGAGUUGAGCAUAUGGUCCAAGUAUCAUUCAAAAUAGGUGCUUAUGAGGACACUUUGGAGUGUGAUGUGGUCCCAAUGACCGUUUGCCACCUCCUCCUUGGUCGGCCAUGGCAAUUCGACCGUGGUGUCUACCACAAUGGGCGUACAAACCACUAUAGCUUCAAGAUGAAAGGCAAAGAAUAUGUCCUACGACCAAUGUCUCCUAGUCAAGUGAUAGCCGACAAACAAGCCACCAACCAAAGAGAGAAGAGCGAGAAAGUGAGCCACCAAAAAGUGAGUGAGAGCCACAAGCCAAAUUUGAGCGACUCUUCGCCUAGAGAGAAAAACCUCAUACUAUUCGCCACCAAACAUGAGAUGAGAGAAGUGUGUGAGAACCCAUCGAGUGUGAUGCACUUUGUCCUUGUGUGCAAGGAUGGAGAACCAAAAACUAACACCACUCAUGAGCUACCUUUGGUGUUUCAAUCUCUUUUGCAGGAAUUUCAAGAUGUUUUCCCCGAUGAGCUACCUCCGGGUCUACCUCCUCUACGAGGCAUUGAGCAUCGAAUCGACCUCAUCCCCGGAGCGCCACUUCCAAACAAAGCUCCAUACCGUGUCAAUCCCGAAGAAACCAAGGAGAUUCAACGGCAAGUACAACAACUAAUCGACAAUGGUCAUGUACGUGAAAGCUUAAGCCCUUGUGCCGUUCCCGUUAUUCUUGUGCCUAAGCCCGAUGGAAGUUUCCGCUUGUGUUCCGAUUGUAGACCUAUAAAUGCUAUCACCGUGCGCUAUAGGCAUCCCAUUCCUCGCUUAGAUGAUAUGCUUGAUGAACUUAGUGGAGCCAACUUUUUCUCAAAAAUUGAUCUUAAAAGUGGCUAUUAUCAAAUCCGCAUUCAUGAGGGUGAUGAAUGGAAAACUGCUUUCAAAACAAAAUUUGGCUUAUAUGAAUGGUUGGUUAUGCCUAUGGGUUUGUCGGAAGCUCCCGGAACUUUUGUGCGUCUCAUGCAUCAUGUACUUCGUCUAUACAUUGGAAUCUUUGUUGUGGUUUACUUCGAUGAUAUUCUUGUGUUUAGCAAAACCAUGAAAGAGCAUCUUGAUCAUGUUAAGCUUGUUUUGCAAACGCUUCGAAAGGAAAGUCUUUAUGCCAACUUGAAAAAAUGCACUUUUGGCAUUGACAAAGUGGUUUUCUUGGGUUUCGUUGUCUCUUCCAAGGGUGUCCAUGUUGAUGAAACUAAGAUCAAAGCAAUUAAAACUUGUCCCCAACCCACCAAUUUGCAACAAGUGCGAAGUUUCCUUGGUCUUGCAGGUUUUUAUCGCCGCUUUGUUAAAAACUUUAGCACUAUUGCAGCUCCUUUGCAUGCUUUGAGUAAGAAGAAUACUCGUUUUGUUUGGGGACCUUUGCAAUCCAACGCUUUUGAUGAGCUCAAGUCUUUACUUACUCAUGCUCUGAUUCUUGCUUUGCCCAAUUUUGACAAAACUUUUGAGGUUCAUUGUGAUGCAAGUGGUACCGGAAUUGGCGGAGUUUUAAUGCAAGAAAAACAAGUCAUUGCUUAUUUUAGUGAAAAACUCUCCGGUGCUCAACUUAACUAUCCCGUGUUUGACAAGGAAUUGUAUGCUUUAGUGCGUGUGCUACAUGUUUGGGAACAUUACCUUAGACCUCAUGAGUUUGUCAUCCAUACCGAUCAUGAAACGCUUAAGUACUUAAAAGGCCAAACUAAAUUGAACAAGUGUCAUGCCAAAUGGAGUGAAUUUAUUGAAUCCUUCCCAUAUGUGAUCAAGUACAUUAAGGGCAAGGAAAAUGUAGUUGCUGAUGCACUUUCACGCAUAUGCACGCUUGUCACCCAACUUGAGUUGAAUGUUAUUGGCUUUGAGCACAUCAAAGAUUUGUAUGUUAGUGAUCCAUCUUUUGCACCUCAUUAUGCUAAAUGUUUGACACAUACAUCUUGGGAACAAUAUUACCUCAAGAAUGGUUAUCUUAUGAGAGCUAACAAACUAUGCAUACCUGAGUCUUCUCUUCGUUUGCUCCUUUUGCAAGAGGCUCAUGGAGGUGGACUCAUGGGACAUUUUGGACGCGACAAGACCUUCGCCACGCUCUCCAAGAACUACUUUUGGCCCAAGAUGUUUCGAGACGUCUCACGCUUCACCACCCGAUGCUCAACAUGCCGCAAAGCUAAGUCAAAAGCUCAAUCUCAUGGUCUUUACAUGCCUCUUCCUAUUCCUUAUCAACCUUGGGAAGACAUUAGCAUGGACUUUGUACUUGGUUUGCCUAGAACUCAAAAUGGAAAGGACUCCGUAUUUGUUGUUGUGGACCGAUUUUCUAAAAUGGCACAUUUCAUUCCUUGCAACAAGGUAGACGAUGCUUCACAUAUUGCAAAUCUAUUUUGUAGGGAAAUCUUGCGCCUCCAUGGAGUACCAAAGUCAAUCGUCUCCGACCGCGACGUCAAGUUCUUGAGUUACUUUUGGAAAACUCUCUGCGCCAAGCUCGGAAUCAAGCUCAUGUUCUCCUCCGCAUACCAUCCUCAAACCGACGGCCAAACGGAGGUGACGAACCGGACGCUCUCCACUCUACUUCGCGUGUUGAUCAAGAAGAACAUCAAGGAGUGGGAGGCGUGUCUACCCAUCGCCGAGUACGCCUACAACCGCGCAAGACAUUCGACGACCGGCAAGUCCCCCUUCGAGAUUGUCUACGGCUUCAACCCAUUGUCCCCAUUGGACAUUCUACCUCUACCUCUACAAGAACGCACCAACCUCGACGCAAGUGCCCGCGCAAGCUACAUCAAGAAGAUGCAUGAAGAUACAAGAAACACUAUCGAGCGCCAAGUACAACGACUAACGACCAAGCUCAACAUCAACAAGCAACCCAUGAUCUUCAACAUAGGCGAUCUCGUCUGGCUACACCUUCGCAAGGAACGCUUCCCCAACGAAUGCAAGUCCAAACUUCUACCUCGAGCCGACGGACCCUUCAAGGUGUUAGCACGCUACAACAACAACGCCUACAAGCUCGACCUACCAAGCGACAAGUACAACGUGAGCGACACCUUCAACGUCAAAGACCUCUCACCUUUCCAUGGUGAUGAAGAACUAGAUCCGAGGUCGGAUCCUUUCGAAGGGAGGGGAUAUGAUGCGGAGCAUCCUUCCACCAUCCCCAUGGACUCUACAUCGACACAUCCAACCCCACAAGGACCUAUGACUCGAUCACGUGCAAGAGCUCUCAAAACCGAGGUGACAUCACUCCUAUCACAACUCUCCUUCGAUUCACAUGAGACAUGGUUGCUACCUCAAACGGAAACUCUAUGCAUACUCAGGUACCAAGGAGUCAACCAUGAAGAGGCUAGGAAGCAAGGAGAACCGGAAGCGGAAGACAUGCAUGAAGACGGAGAGGAGAAAGCAACAAGGACCAGAGAGGCCGGACGAUCCGGACGGAGGCCCGGACGAUCCGAACGGAGCCCGGAUAAUCCGGACCCCGGUCCGGAUGAUCCGGCUAAUUCCAUCGAAGGCAACAGAAGCUCCCUCCCGAAGCCGGAUCAUCCGGACCCCAUCCCGGAUCAUCCGGACCCUACCCGGACGUCCGGACCGUCAGUCGGACAUCCGGCCCUGCGCCGCCACCAGCCGGGCACCCGGACCAUCCGGGCCUCCACCCGGAUCAUCCGGACCAGCCCGGAUCAUCCGGACCCCCAUCCGGAUCAUCCGGCCAGCGCCUGUGUGCGCGUGUUGGGCUGAGCCCAUGUACCCCUUCGCCCCAAACUCUAUAUAUAGGACCCCAUCUCCUCACUUUGAGACUUAGCAUUGGAUUAGCUCAUAUUUGUGUGAGAGCCUUUGCUCAUCCACUCGGUUACUUCUCCUCAGAGAUCAGGACCUCCGUCUAGGAGAAGAUCCCUCAGCGGAUUCAAGACCCCUAUCAAGGGAAGAACAUCAAGGCCUCCUCUUGGAGAUGAACGGUUCCUUUGUAUCCUUACCCUAGUUGACUAUGUAUCUUGUGGAUCUCAUGUGUGUAUGUUGAUCUAGCACUUGUGUGAUCGAUUCCUUGUUGGUUGAGUGAUUCUCUCUCGUUUUCCCCGUGUUUCCCCUCGUGCUUCUGCGUGUUCUUCGUGUUUCCUCCGUAGGAUCCCCUCCAAACGUGAAAGAUCGACGAAUUAGGGUUCCACCCUACAUCACAU
RNAcentral lists this long non-coding RNA (51393 nucleotides) under Triticum aestivum (bread wheat). Its description in RNAcentral is "long non-coding RNA (TAES_LNC022252)". The record is from RNAcentral. Lineage: Eukaryota; Viridiplantae; Streptophyta; Magnoliopsida; Poales; Poaceae.